This 64616-nucleotide long non-coding RNA is filed under the name Hordeum vulgare. Its description in RNAcentral is "long non-coding RNA (HVUL_LNC002769)". Lineage: Eukaryota; Viridiplantae; Streptophyta; Magnoliopsida; Poales; Poaceae. The record is from RNAcentral.
UCCUCCUCAACGUACUACCAGCAGUACAACUCACGCCCCUGCAACCGCAACCGCAAUGCAAGUGGCCGCGCCGUCCCCCACGCAAACGUCUCUCCUACUGCUCGCAUUCGAUUCGUGGAUUCAGAGGCGUAGCAAGAAGAUCGUGACGGUUCUGUUGUGAUCAACAUCUUUCGAAUUUGACGAAAUGCCAUGAGCAAAAUGCUGACGAGAACACAAUGGAAGGAGAAACUGAAAGAAUAUAUACAGGGAUGUUGAUGAGAGUCCUGCAUCGGCCCAAGCUAUUUUUUACUCCUCCAAUUCCUUUCAAUCUUAUCUUAACUCUUACUACUAGUACCAAGAACAAACAAAGGGGAACCAACCCAAGACUACCAGACUAGAGCUAGGAGCGCCUCGCGAUAAGGAGAAACAGCGAGGGGCCGGGCGAGAAACCGCGCCGACCGAACCGACCCCUCGCCUUCACGCCAGAAGGAAAGCAAGAAGAAGAAGAGAAAAAUAAUCCAUCGCCUCCACCACCACGGAUUUGAUUAAUGAUCGGAAUCGGAGCGCGGUUUUACCGAAACGCCCCUGCGGGCCGAGAGUUGACCGGAGGGGGGGCACGGGCUGCCGAAUCCGAUCGAUCACGGCGGNNNNNNNNNNNNNNNNNNNNNNNNNNNNNNNNNNNNNNNNNNNNNNNNNNNNNNNNNNNNNNNNNNNNNNNNNNNNNNNNNNNNNNNNNNNNNNNNNNNNAGGGCUGAUUUGAGACGAUUUUUCCACGGCAGCCCGACCACAUACCUCCACGGUUUUUCCUCUAGAUCGCGUUUCUGCGGAGCUCGGGCGGAGCCCUGCUUAGACAAGGUCAUCACCAACCUCCGGAGCGCCGUCACGCUGCCGGAGAACUCUUCUACCUCUCCGUCUCUCUUGCUGGAUCAAGAAGGCCGAGAUCAUCGUCGAGCUGUACGUGUGCUGAACGCGGAGGUGUCGUCCGUUCGGUACUAGAUCGUGGGACUGAUCGCGGGAUUGUUCGCGGGGCGGAUCGAGGGACGUGAGGACGUUCCACUACAUCAACCGCGUUCUCUAACGCUUCUGCUGUACGAUCUACAAGGGUACGUAGAUCACUCAUCCCCUCUCGUAGAUGGACAUCACCAUGAUAGGUCUUCGUGCGCGUAGGAAAAUUUUUGUUUCCCAUGCGACGUUCCCCAACAGUGGCAUCAUGAGCUAGGUUCAUGCGUAGAUGUCUUCUCGAGUAGAACACAAAAGUUUUUGUGGGCGGUGAUGUGCGUUUUGCUGCCCUCCUUAGUCUUUUCUUGAUUCCGCGGUAUUGUUGGAUUGAAGCGGCUUGGACCGACAUUACUCGCACGCUUACGAGAGACUGGUUUCAUCGUUACGAGUAACUCCGUUGCUCAAAGAUGACUGGCAAGUGUCGGUUUCUCCAACUUUAGUUGAAUCGAUUUGACCAACGAGGUCCUUGGAUGAGGUUAAAUAGCAACUCAUAUAUCUCCGUUGUGGUGUUUGCGUAAGUAAGAUGCGAUCCUACUAGAUACCCAUGGUCACCACGUAAAACAUGCAACAACAAAAUUAGAGGACGUCUAACUUGUUUUUGCAGGGUAUGCUUGUGAUGUGAUAUGGCCAAUGAUGUGAUGUGAUAUAUUGGAUGUAUGAGAUGAUCAUGUUGUAAUAGAAAUAUCGACUUGCACGUCGAUGGUACGGCAACCGGCAGGAGCCAUAGGGUUGUCUUUAUACUAACGUUUGUGCUUGCAGAUGCGUUUACUAUUUUGCUAGGAUGUAGCUUUAGUAGUAAUAGCAUGAGUAGCACGACAACCCCGAUGGCAACACGUUGAUGGAGAUCAUGGUGUGGCGCCGGUGACAAGAAGAUCGUGCCGGUUCUUUGGUGAUGGAGAUCAAGAAGCACGUGAUGAUGGCCAUAUCAUGUCACUUAUGAAUUGCAUGUGAUGUUAAUCCUUUUAUGCACCUUAUUUUGCUUAGAACGACGGUAGCAUUAUGAGGUGAUCUCUCACUAAAAUUUCAAGACGAAAUUGUGUUCUCCCCGACUGUGCACCGUUGCUACAGUUCGUCGUUUCGAGACACCACGUGAUGAUCGGGUGUGAUAGACUCAACGUUCACAUACAACGGGUGCAAAACAGUUGCGCACGCGGAACACUCGGGUUAAGCUUGACGAGCCUAGCAUGUGCAGACAUGGCCUCGGAACACAUGAGACCGAAAGGUCGAUCAUGAAUCAUAUAGAUGAUAUGAUUAGCAUAGGGAUGCUUACCACUGAAACUAUACUCAACUCACGUGAUGAUCGGACUUGAGCUAGUGUAAGUGGAUCAUGAACCACUCAAAUGACUAGAGAGAUGUACUUUUUGAGUGGGAGUUUAGCGAGUAAUUUGAUUAAGUUAAACUCUAAUUAUCUUGAACAUAGUCUAAGUCCACUUUGAAUAUAUUUGUGUUGUAGAUCAUGGCUCACGCGACAGUCAUCCUGAAUUUUAAUACGUUCCUAGAGAAAGCUAAGUUGAAAGAUGAUGGAAGCAACUUUGUAGACUGGGCUCGUAAUCUUAAGCUAAUCUUACAAGCUGGGAAGAAGGAUUAUGUCCUUAAUGCUGCGUUAGGAGAUGAACCACCCGCUACGGCUGAUCAGGAUGUUAAGAACGCUUGGUUAGCACGUAAGGAGGACUACUCAAUAGUUCAAUUUGCAGUCUUGUAUGGCUUAGAACCGGGACUUCAACGUCGCUUUGAGCGUCAUGGAGCAUUUGAGAUGUUCCAGGAGUUGGAGUUUAUCUUUCAGAAGAAUGCCCGGUUCGAGAGGUAUGAGACCUCCGAUAAAUUCUAUGCUUGCAAGAUGGAGGAAAACUCGUCUGUCAGUGAACAUGUGCUCAAAAUGUCUGGGUACUCAAACCGUCUAGCUGAGCUGGGGAUUGAACUCCCGCAAGAAGCUAUCAUUGACAGAAUCCUUCAAUCAUUGCCGCCAAGCUAUAAAGGCUUUGUGUUGAACUACAACAUGCAAGGGAUGAACAAGUCUCCCGGCGAGUUGUUUGUGAUGCUGAAAGUCGCAGAGUCUGAACUCCGUAAAGAGCAUCAAGUGUUGAUGGUGAAUAAGACCACUAGUUUCAAGAGAAACGGCAAAGGCAAGAAGGGCAAUUCGAAGAAGAGCGGCAAGCCUGUUUCCAAUCCGACGAAGAAACCCAAAGCUGGACCUAAGCCGGAAAUGGAGUGUUACUAUUGCAAGGGUAUGGGUCACUGGAAGCGCAAUUGCCCCAAGUAUCUGGCAGAUAAGAAGGCGGGCAAAGAAAAAUCAGGUAUAUUUGAUAUACAUGUUAUUGAUGUGUACUUAACCGGCUCUCGUAGUAGUGCCUGGGUAUUCGAUACCGGUUCUGUUGCUCAUAUUUGCAACUCGAAACAGGAACUGCGGAAUAGGCGAAGGCUGGCAAAAGAUGAAGUGACGAUGCGCGUAGGAAAUGGUUCCAAGGUUGAUGCAAUCGCCGUCGGCACAGUGUCACUUCAGUUACCGUCAGGAUCAGUGAUGAACUUAAAUCAUUGUUAUUUAGUGCCUGCGUUGAGCAUGAACAUUAUAUCUGGAUCUUGUUUAUUGCGAGACGGUUACUCUUUUAAGUCAGAGAAUAAUGGUUGUUCUAUUUCUAUGAGUACCAUCUUUUAUGGUCAUGCACCGAAUGUGAGAGGAUUGUUCAUAUUGAAUCUUGAUAACGAUACGCAUAUACAUAACAUUGAGACCAAAAGAGUUAGAGUUAACAAUGAUAGCGCCAUAUUUUUGUGGCACUGCCGCUUAGGUCAUAUUGGUUAAAGCGCAUGAAGAAACUCCAUGCUGAUGGACUUUUGGAGUCACCUGACUUUGAUUCACUUGACACAUGCGAACCAUGCCUCAUGGGCAAGAUGACUAAGACUCCGUUCUCAGGAACAAUGGAGCGUGCAAGUGACUUGUUGGAAAUCAUACAUACCGAUGUGUGUGGUCCGAUGAGCGUGGAGGCACGCGGCGGAUAUCGUUAUUUUCUUACCUUCACUGACGAUUUAAGUAGAUAUGGUUAUGUCUACUUGAUGAAACACAAGUCUGAAACGUUUGAAAAGUUCAAGCAAUUUCAGAGUGAAGUGGAAAAUCAUCGUAACAAGAAGAUCAAGUUCCUACGGUCUGAUCGUGGGGGUGAAUAUCUGAGUUUCGAGUUUGGUGCUCACUUAAGACAAUGUGGAAUUGUUUCACAGUUAACACCGCCUGGAACACCACAGUGUAANACACCGCCUGGAACACCACAGUGUAAUGGUGUGUCCGAACAUUGUAAUCGUACUCUAUUAGAGAUGGUGCGAUCUAUGAUGUCUCUUACUGAUUUGCCGUUAUCAUUUUGGGGCUAUGCAUUAGAAACAGCUGCAUUCACUUUAAAUAGGGAACCAUCAAAAUCCAUUGAGACGACACGAUACGAACUGUGGUAUGACAAGAGGCCAAAGUUGUCGUUUCUUAAAGUUUGGGGAUGUGAUGCUUAUGUCAAAAAGCUUCAGCCUGAAAAGCNNNNNNNNNNNNNNNNNNNNNNNNNNNNNNNNNNNNNNNNNNNNNNNNNNNNNNNNNNNNNNNNNNNNNNNNNNNNNNNNNNNNNNNNNNNNNNNNNNNNUAACCAAGCACAUAAGAACAUCUCCAACACACACAAUAAAUAUGAUGCCUAAGAAAAAACACGCUUUUUGCACGCGCGGGGGUGUUUGAUGCGCUUCAGCAGGUGCGGAGAAAAUACGGAUGCUAAAUAAAACGUCGCGCAUGAGAAAAAGCGACAACGCGCGUACAACGCACCCUUUAUAAACCACGCGUGGGCGCGUGCAAACCGCCACCUCCCUCGUCUUUUUUCUCGCCUACGCUGCGCCACCGCCGCCCCGCUCUUCUUCCUCGUCACCGGCGCCCUUCUCCCUUGCCACCGUCUCUCCCUUCCUCGCCGUCACGCCCUCGGAGCAGCUCCGGCUUCCGCGGCAUCCCCCCCCCCCCCCCCGACGUGUUCUACGCGAAGGUCUCCACUCCGGGGACAUUCGCCCCGGGCUCGGCACUUUUGACAUCGCCAAGGCGACCGCUCGCACGUACUCUUCAGGUCGCGCGCAUAUGAACUUUUCAGUUGUUCGAAGGCGCAGGCCCGCACGCCUCCCUGCUAGUAAUCACCGCGGAGGACCGUCGCAUCCAGGCAAGAUGGGAUCACCGCCUCCUCAUCGCCGAGAUGGACGAGCAGGCCAUGGAGGCGUGGCGUGUGCACUUCCCGCAGGACGUCAGGCAGAAAGGCGUGAACGAAAGACUGCAGCGCUAGCGCAGUGCGACCUGGGAAGACGUCGACAUGGAGCGACAACGAUAAUCGUUGGGACGAUGCUUUCCUCACGUCGGACUACAUCACUGAGAAGAACGAUGAAGAGUAGUAGUCUAUCUAUCUACUUUAUCUAGUUUAUUAUCUAGUUAUCUAUGUAGUUUAUCGUUUCCAUUUGUAUAAUUUGGACUUGAACUAUGUUAACAAUAAUAUAAACUUUUUAUUGUUGGUUUAUUAUUGUGUUUUUAUCUUUAAAAAGUGAAAGUUGUGUUUGUGCUCGAUGCGAGUGUUUUAAAUUUACAGCGCCUGAUGAAACGGCAGCACCAUGUCCCAUUGUGUGGCGCGUGCUGCAGCGGGCGUGCUGCAGUCCAUAAAGAAAAGGCAUUUUGAUGCCGCAAAAAGAAUCUAUCGUGCCGCGCGUAAUGUGCCUGUUGAAGAAGCUCUAACAAGCAAUGAAAUGUAGUGUAUUUUGAGAUGCCAUCAUUCCUCUCUCAACAAGCAAUGAAAUGCUGUGUAUUUUGAGAUGCCAUCAUUCCUCUCUCACAAUAAACGUAACUCAAAAUUCCACAAACCGAUCGCUCGUUAUCGUAAACAAGAAAAGUUCAAUAUGACGUCCUUUAAAUCAAUAUCGAUCUUUAGUAAAAAAAAAAAGCUUUGGUCCCAUUUUAUAUAUAGAAAAUCAUCAAAAACCCGGUUUAGAGACACGACACCACAACACACAUCUAAGACAUAAUGCAUAGACGCCGAGCCCAACAACACCCACCCAAGCACUAUAAAAGCAACCGAAGUCUUCAACCAUGAACACACCACCACAAAGAGAUGAAGCCGCAUACGGCGAACCAUGGGCUACGAGGCGGCACCUUCAGCAAGGACACGACACCAAAGCGACACCACCACCCGACCCGAGGGUUAGAGUUUCCUCUAGAGCAACAUGACAUGUUAUGAAGGCCGCGACGACGCCUUUAAAAAAACGAGCUUCGCCGCCGCCGGUCCGUCCGAAGAUAAAACAAUUUUACACCCGACCAACACCCAUCGCCACCAAACACCACGCCCGGCUACCAUGGCACCCACACAGUAAUGGUCACCGGGCAGCACCAAGCCACGGGCUCUACCCAUGAACACCGCGCUACCACCACCAGGCCGCCGCCCCGACAUUCAUGACCUUGACAUCAACUCACCCGAAACUCACUGCUGCAACAACCAAAGAGACGGAUGGAAAAGGCCCCGCCUUUCGCACCCCUGGACGGCCCUGAUACGUCUUCAACGUAUCUAUAAUUUCUGAUGGUUUCAUGAUAUUAUCCUGUCAAACUUUGUAUGUUUUGUAUGCCUUUUAUAUAUUUUUGGGACUAACUUAUUAACUCAGUGUCAAGUGCCAGUUUCUAUUUUUUUCGUUUUUUUUGACCCCUUUCAGAGGAGGAUUUUAAACGGAGUCCAAACGGAACGAAACUUCCAAAAAGAUUUUUUCCGAAACAGAAGAAGUUUAGGAAGCUUGAGAACCAAGGCAGGGGGCCACCAGGGACCCCACAAGCCCCCUAGCCGCGGCCAGGGGGCCCGCGCAUCCCAGGCUUGUGGGCUCCCUGGGCCACCUCUGCCCUAGGUCUUUCGCCUAUAUAUUCUCAUAAAUUCCAGAAAAAAUCAGGAGAUCAUCGAAAGUACUUUUCCGCCGCCACAAGCUUCUGUCUCCGCAAGAUCCCAUCUGGGACCCUGUCGGAGGGGGGAUUCGGAUACGGAGGGCAUCUUCAUCAACACUAUGACCUCUCCAAUGAUGCGUGAGUAGUUCACCAUAAACAUACGGGUCCAUAGCUAGUAGCUAGAUGACUUCUUCUCUCUCUUGGAUCUUCAAUACAAAGUUCUCCAUGAUCUUCAUGGAGAUCUAUCCGAUGUAAUCUUCUUUUGCGGUGUGUUUGUCGAGAUCCGAUGAAUUGUGAAUUUAUGAUCAAAUUAUCUAUGAAUCUUAUUUGAGUUUUUUCUGAUCUCUCUUAUGCAUGAUUUUAUAUCCUUGUAAUUCUCUUCAAGUUGUGGGUUUUGUCUGGCCAAUUAGAUCUAUGAUUCUUGCAAUGGAAGAAGUGCUUGGUUUUGGGUUCAUACCGUGCGGUGACCUCACCCAGUGACAGAAGGGGUAGCGAGGCACGCAUCGUAUUGUUGCCAUCAAGGAUAAAAGAUGGGGUUUUCAUCAUUGGUUUGAGAUUAUCCCUCUACAUCAUGUCAUCUUGCUUAAAGCGUUACUUUGUUCGUCAUGAACUCAAUACACUAGAUGCAUGCUGGAUAGCGGUCGAUGUGUGGAGUAAUAGUAGUAGAUGCAGAAAGUAUCGGUCUACUUGUCUCGGACGUGAUGCCUAUAUGUAUGAUCAUUGCCUUAGAUAUCGUCAUGACUUUACGCGGUUCUAUCAAUUGCUCGACAGUAAUUUGUUCACCCAUCGUAAUAUUUGCUAUUUUGAGAGAAUUCUCUAGUGAACACUAUGUCCCCAGGUCUACUUCACACCAUAUUUUCAGCCUUACACUUUUACUUCGUUGCACUUUUCGCCUUCAGAUCUCACUUUACAAUCAAUCUUGAAGGGAUUGACAACCCCUUUAUAUCGUUGGGUGCAAGCUCUUUUGUGUUUGCGCAGGUACUCUGGACUUGACGAGAUUCUCCUACUGGAUUGAUACCUUGGUUUUCAAACUAAGGGAAAUACUUACUGCUCCUGUGCUGCAUCACCCUUUCCUCUUAAAGGGAAAAACUAACGCAAGCAAGUCUCCGUCAACGUGUCAAUUUCUGGCGUUGUUGUUUGAGAAGUAGCAGGCCCCAUCACCGAGACCCAAUAGGCUGUGACGCGCCGCCGAGGGGAAGCCCCGAGCCGCCCUACAGCGGCCGUCGAGGUUGCAGCCCGCCCCAUGCUAGAACCUGAUCCAGGAGCCGCCACCGCCACAAGCACCCCAGCACGCCGCCACCUCCCGCGCCACGCCCGAGCAACCAGGAGUCAGCUUCGACUGGAUCUGACCAAGACGCCAUGCUGUGACCCAACGAAGGAGCGACCACCACCACUCGUGCCUUCUGGAUCCAGCGAACAGAGAAGCCACCGCCGCCAACACCAGCGCGCACCACCGCCCCUCGUGCAACCCUCCACACCACCAUGAGAUGCCCAACACCGCCGCUAGUCGCCCGUGGGAGCGACAGAUGGAGGGUCGGGAGUAAACCGAUCUUUACGACACCCAUGUCGUAGAUCUAGAAAUAAACUAGCAUUCACGAAAUCGAAACACCACUUUUUUUUCUGCAUAUCUUUGAAGCAGGAAAUAUUAUGGUGAAUUACUAAUCAUCAAACUGGCAUGUCCACUUGUAUGCUACUCACUCUGUAAACAAAUAUAAGCCAUUUUAGGUCAGUGUAGUAUACUGACCUAAAAUGUCUUUUACAUUUGUUUACAUAUUUUGUAUUGGUGUUAAAAAAUGUGUUACAGUAUAGGACGGAGGGAGUAGUUUAUAAGUAGAAGAAUAGAAAUUUGAAGCGAAAAAUGGUGGAGACGCACUGAGAUCACGGCACAUGACAAGUGUUCAAAUCAAUGGAAAGCAAAUGUAUGUUGGAGAUGGUACCAUUCCUCUCUCAGAAUAAUCGGAGCCCAAAAUUCCACAUGCCGAUCGAUCGAUAUGCUAAACAGGCAAAUUCCUCGGAAUCUUACGAAAAAAGGGGGUCCUUUCGGCUUUCCUUCUAAACUAAACCGAUCUUUCCCACACCAUUUCGCAGAUCUGGAAAUAAACUAGCAUACACUGAACCGAAACGAUUCUGAGCCCCUUUUUUCUCUGCAUAUUUCUGAAGCAGGAAAGAUAUGGUAAAGUAUAAUUAUCAACCUGGCAUAUCCACUUGUGUUGGGCCUUGGCUAUGGCAGGUGGACAUGAUAAGGAGAUCUGAUGAGCAAGUGGGGGAGGCAGGCUCCCAUCUAAAGCAACUGCUACCAGCAGCCAUGCCAGCCUGAACAUCACACUGCAUUGUUUCCUGCAUCAAAGCCAUCAUCUGGUCCUUGUGAUUCUUCAGAACUUGUUCUUUUACCUAUCCCAUAUGUUUUUUUUCCUCUCACACUAUCCAGGGCAAGUGUGAGUUAAUUUUGUUCUGAGACGACUGAAUAAUAGUAGCUGACACAGAAAUGGUGGUUGCGUCCUUUUCUUAUUGAUGGAAAGAGAGGGUGGCCGUAUCACUAUCGGAGUAUCGGUUAAUGAAUCGAAUGGUACUUCUAACUAAAAGGCACAGAAGAUGGGACUUGAGGUUGGGACAUGAGUUAAUUUGGUUUAACUAAAAGGCACAGAAGAUGGGACUUGAGGUUGGGACACGAGUUAGUUUGGUUUGACAGGGUGAAGGAUAGUACUACCAAGGAGACGACGCCAGCAACUUGACAAGCAAAGGCCCAUAAGCAAUAAUUCAGUUGGGUCCUAUUGGGAAAUAUCUUGUCUUCGGAAGAAUUUUGGAUUGACCCAAAUGGCGAGAUUCUUGGAAGACAGAAACUGAUACGGUUUUCCAGUUGCAACAAACAAAAGGGAGAUAAUCAUACGUACCUGUCGUCGACGUGUAUGAAUGUCCAACAAAUUGUCCAAAGAGUCUCAGUUUUGUCCCAGAUUUCUGUAACUGGGUCAUCUAGUGCAGAGAACCAUCUGUGCUAGAAUCAACAAAAGAGCAUUACAAAAUACCAGAGAAGUUCACAUUAGAUUAGAGCAUGUCGACAUAUGCUAUAUAUACAAGCGGUCUCACAUAAACGAUACGGCGCAGGUCUACACACCAGACGAACAAAAUAGCCAUGCAGGAUAGGAGAGAGGGACACGAGAGAUAGAGCAUCCUUCUGGUCGGUCAGUCCUGCUUAACUAUCAUAUGGAAGGUUUUGCUCUUAUCUUCAUCAGCAAGCUCCUUGAGAAGAUCAUCAUCAAUAGCAGUCACCGCGUUUUGUAGUGGAUCAUCGAAAUAGCGCCCGUGGAAGACCAUCUUCGCCAUCCAAGCCUUCCUUCUGUUACUAUUAUACUUAUCCUCCUCCCAUGUACCAUAUGCAACCAGAAGGUAGACAUACACGGUCCUCUCCUGUCCAGGCCUGAACGCCCGCGCGAUCGCCUGCCUGGUCUUGGAGUGGUUCCACUCUGAAUCCAGCAUGACCAACCUCGACGCGCCUGUCAAGCUGAUACCCUCGGCGCACGCCGUUGUCGAAGCAAUAAGGACCUUCCUCUUCCCUUGACUGUCGGUGUUGAAUUUGUCAAUGACAUCGGAGCGGACGGGCAGCUCUUGAUCGCCUUGGAGCACCAGGACUUCCUCCCCGAGGCGCCAUCCAAACACAUUCUCGAUCAACUCGACAAGAAAGCUUAUGGGCGAUACAUUGUGGCAGAAUAUCAGCACCCUCUCCCCCCUGUACGACGACUUGUGCAGCAGAUCGAUGACAAACUUCGCCUUGCAACCGACAGCAAAGUCCCUCUUGUACCUGUCAACCUCAUGCACUUCUUCUGGAGUGAAGUAAGUGCUAGAACAUUUGGUUGUUUUUAUAAGCCAUGGAUGGAUAGAAGCAAUGGUGAUGAGCAGCUGAACCUCGAGAAGGUAACGGCCACCGCAUGACGUUGCCAUCGAUAUUUUUGAAAGUAUAUCACCCUGAAUUUCAGUGGGUUUCAUGAAAAGUGUAUAUACAUGUAUCCCUGGAAGGCUUCUUAGCUUUGACCCUUCGAAUGAAUCGAUGAACCCACAUGUAAGCUUGUUUAACAAACUGAUACCACCUGCCCGGUCCCAGUUGUUGCUAGACUCGAUCAUUUGCCCAACUCUGUCCACGAAGAUUCGCCUUGCCACUGCUUCUCUAUGUUUAGCUCUCCUGCCGCUUGUUUCCUUCUUCCUUUCCGGGACAAGCGCGGUCAUAACAUCGUCGACAAACCGAGGUCUGGCCAGAGAUAGGGUGUUGAAAUACUCUUCAAAGUUAUUCUGGAAGACUGUACCAGACAUGAGGAUUCUAAACUCUGUCUUCACCUUCAUCAGCACCCUCCUCAACUUGGAUUUGUUGCUCCUCGGGUUGUGUCCCUCGUCGAGGAUCAACAACCCAGGGUUGUUGAUCAGGACUUGCGCCAUGAAUGCUCGCUGAGGCAUUCUUGAGUCUUCUUUCGCCAGUCGUAAGAAAGAUGAGUAUGUCAUGAGGAGAACACUUGGACGCUCAUGCCACUUGCAUAACUUGUCCAGCCGAUCCACAAGGCAAAUGUUUUUCCAGCUCGGCCGGCGAAAAUUGCUUAAAAUUGCCUGCAGCCUAGGAUCAAUAGGCCACAUUGGCUUGCCUCUUCUGUCAGCCUGAUGAAGCAGAUGCAGAGGAACUGAAAUGCCCCAUUUCUCAAAUUCUCUCAUCCAUGUAUGGAUAGCAGAUUUUGGAGUAAGCACCAAUGGCCGGCUUCUUGGGUGAACUUUUAAGUAACUGACAAGAAAUGAGAUCAGCAGCAGAGUUUUCCCCGAUCCAGGAGUAUGUGCAACCACACAGCCACCAGUACUGGCUGUUGGAUUAUCCAUUUCCUCGAGUUGCAGCGAUCCCGCCAAGUUUUUCCAAAUGAAUUCGAAUGCAUUCCUUUGGUGAGGAAGUAAUUUAGGCUCAAGAUCGGGUAUUAAACUCCACAGGUUCCCGGAGCCCCUCAGUUCUGAAAACUCUGGUCCCAAGAUUGCAAGAAGAGAAGGAUCAAGUACAAGAUCAUCAUGAUCAAAAUUGCGGCAUCCAGGUCUCUCCUUGUUAUAGCCAUUACCAUUGGCCUGCAUGGAACGAAUAUAUUGUGCAUCCUGUCAAUUGACGAGUCAAAAGCGAAAGCAGUGAAAAGAAGUUGAAAUUGCUUUAAUUGGACCUACCAUUUGCGGAAAGAUAUGCUUUAUCUCCACACAUACAACAUUGCAUAAUCUGCACACCAGUCCAAGCUCCUCAUCCAGUAUGCAGUCAUGAUCACAUGGAUUUUCUUCACUUUUACCUAAAUCAGCAGUGGCUUCAUGAACUGCUUCUGAAUGUGAGUCCUGAAAAUUUGUAUCUGUUCUUAUUCCCGAAGUGCCGGAAAAAGCAGACUUUUUUUAAAGAAAGAACAUCAAGUAAUUCACAGCAUUGUGAUUGCAAGGGCAUGCUAACAAAUUUCAUGUGAUCCAUAUUUUGUAUACAUCCUUUUAUAUGCAAGUUACUAGCAGCAACUGUUAAGCUUCAUGCACUAGCCAACGCAACCAAAAGUCCGAAUUUAUGAAAAGGUGAAACUCACAUAUGACUCAAGAGGCCUCUACAUGGACACAAAGGGAGGCUACCAGCAGUUUUUAAUAAAUUGCGAAAGCCAGGACUUGAACAAGACCUUAGCUUCGAUACCAUGUUAAGCUUCAUGCACUAGCCAACGCAACCAAAAGUCCGAACUUAUGAAAAGGGAUAGUGCAAUCCACAUAUACUGUAACACAAUGAUCAGUGAAAUGACAAAACUUACCAAAAUGUUUUUAUGUCACAAUAUGUUGAACAUUGCACUUAGUAAUUAUGAGAUAUUUUUGGGAUCAUAGAUAAUUUUUUCAGAAGUACAAACAGACUCAGGCUUGAGUAUAUCAGGAAUUCAGAAUGAGCACUAUUUCCAAAUUCAGAACGAGCAUUUUCUCAAGAAGUUCUAAAUCAUUUCACGAGAAACUUGAGCAAUUAUAAAAGGAAUACAACGCGUACCUGAUUUUUCUCAAGCGCUAUUGUGGUCAAUGAGUGGUCCAUUUCUUUCCAAAAUUCCUCAAGACCAUCCUUCUCUUCUUGACUGUCACUGUCAGCAGAAGCUGGCCAUGUAAAAUUCACUUCUCCGUGAAAACCCUGAUCGUAACUCAUCAUCGGAACACCUAGAUAAAACUCAAAGUCCCUGUCCAUUUCAGUCUGGAUGUUUCCUAUGCAUUGGUUUACCAUUUUCUUGUAUUCUCUUUCGCACAUGCGUUCCUUUCUUUUCCGACCAAAUGCUGGCUCAGAAUUGCCAUUUAGGCUGCGUGAUGAAGUAAAUGACUUGCGCCGAAGAGAUAAAGGGAGGUGAAGAUUCUUCUCCCUGCUCUUUGCAGGUGUCCGUGGAACAUGAGGAUCCGAAGAUCUUUCUUCAACUGUGCUCUCCUCCUUCACUUCCACAGAGCUGGGUUUUUCCUUAACAGGAGUUAUCCUUGCUGUGCUCUUAUGCUUCCCUUCUGCGGAGUUUGGGUUUUCCUUGACCACGAAAGCAGUUGCACUUGUUUGUUUCCGUGUGAUAUUCACUGGGACCUCUGCAUAAGUUGAUUCUACUUCAACUGGUGAAUCUCGACGUGAAGCUCUUGCUGAAUUGCAAUGCUUGCUGGACGACGCAUCACGUCUCUUCCACCUGUCACGUCCGAAAUUAGGCAUGUCAUAGGUAGUAAAGCGCUCUGCUUGAGUUUUCUGACGCUUUGAACGCCUCAAAUCCACUUCUUCAUACGAGAAAACAUCUAAUAGACCAUCCAACUCAGUCUUGACUGUAAAUCUCCUGUCUUCCAAUUGACCAUCCAAUUCGGUCUUCAUAGUGAAUCUCAUGUCUUCUGUGAGAUUGUGUUUGUUUGCAUGAGUGACCGGGAUAUUCCUGAUAAUUGGGCAUAAAGCCUCAUUGCGCAGUUGGAAUGAAACUAUCUCCAUGCUGUUGCCAAAGCCUGGAGGUGUGCUCGUGGAACCAAGAUUGCAAUGCGCUCGGCCUCCUGUGAUGAUUCUAUAGAUGAUGUUUCGUUUUACCAACUUGAUGCUGAACUCCAUUCCAUUCAGGAUAGACAAAACUAUGAGAUGUGCAAUUUCUUGGGAGAAUCUAGCACUUAACAGCUUGCUUCUAUUGUGAGAGAGACAAUCCUCCGCGUAGCUCCAUUGUACACUUCCCUCAUGGAUCUCCUUAGGUUGGAGCUUUUGCAAGAGCAAGAUAUUGUUUAGGGUCACCACAUGUUCUCUUCUAUCAGAUAUCACGUCUCCAUUUUCUGUAUUGUCAGGAUACUGAUUCUUGUAGAGCAUAAUAACAAACAAGCAGAGACACUGAUCUUCAAUAUGAUUUCUCUUGAUUGUGAUGAGCCUUGCAUCAUGACACAGUAACAUCUGCAUGUAUAUAAGAGAAUAAAGUAAUCAAGAGAUGAUGCAGUUUUCCCUUAACAGUUUUUUUUAUUUGAGCAUCCCCUUAACAGUUUAUUGAUAGUUUAGCCUCUUAGUUCCUUCUUUUGUAGUAGGUUUUUUUUUCAUCUUAAAGUUUCUUCUAAUACAAGAGGCACACAUUUGGGUCUGUAUUUGAGAAACAAGACUGCUAUUAAAUGACAUGCGGAACAAACAAUGGUAUAACUUUCUCAUCCAACUCUUCAUAUUCAGCGCAUUAUGUUUUUUCUUUUGUUCCUAAAAAUCCAUUACUAUGUACCUUUUGAAGAUAAAACAGAAUGGGCAUGUAAACCUUUUACAAUAAAUCAUAAAUAGUAGGUUGACAUACCGAAGAUUUCAUUUCCCCAGUCGGACUUCCUUGCAGUAGAUGAGACGAUUGCACACAAAUAUCAACACCCGGCUUGAGAACAUGCGAGCAGUCAAAGUACGUAGCUCUUCUGGAGCGUAGGCGCAGAUGAUCCCCAUCCACAUUAUGCUCGACUGUGGAGCUAGAGUAGGUAAAUUUAACGAACAGCCCGCCAUCCCUGAUCCUUAUACAAUUAACUCCAUGCCAUGAGCCAUCAUAGAAUGCCUCAAAUGCUGCAAGCAAAGGAGAAAUUCAGUUAUAUAUAGAUGUUUUUUAAUGUAAAUUUAAAUAUAGAUAUUUGAUCAUAACAGUGUAUAAUGGAUAAUUUCCACGCUACUUGCUUACGAGUUUCACUGAUGGGAUGGCUACGGCGACCUUUAGGUCCUCCCUUGAGCGUAUCUUCAGCCAUGUAGCUUAGCAUCUCAUGAUGUGACAUUCAACUGCCUGCUAAGCAGAAUUUUGUAACGGUUUGCUUCAUAUGGAACAAGAAAUCUGAAUUUCUGAUCAACAAUAUUCUAAAUGGAUAGUACAUGGCUGUCCCGGUGGCCGGUGAGCCAUAUACAACCCCAAAACCCAGCAUCGGUUCAUGCUUUGAGAUUGGCAUGCUCUCGCCAUCUUUGUUGUAGCACAUCUCAUUUCACACCUUAAUGAAGUCAAUUCUACAGCAUCAAAAUGUCUAAAACAAAGAGCAACGAGAUCUAGAUUCGACUAUUACUAAAUUGUCAACUAUUUUCCAACGCCGAAUAUACAUAUAAAUGGAUUUGCACAAACCAAAUACUUCCUCCGUCUUAAAAUAAGUGUCUUAAGCUUAGUACAAUUUUAUACUAAAGCUAGUACAAAGUUAAGACACUUAUUUUAGAAUGGAGGGAGUAUGAAUUAGUACAAUGGUGCAUAAUAUAGCGACAUAAAACGUGCGAAACUCAAAGCAUGAUCUAUGGUGAAUAAAUUCCACACUCUAUCAUAAAUAUCUCCAUAGGCAUACAGAUUCAUUCAUUUACUCUUUUUUUCUCGAGAAAAUGCAAGAUUCAUGUCCUAGCUAGUGCCAAACUGAUACUAGUAGUAAUAAAUAUGCGACAAAAUACAACAUUUAGUACCAUUUUUUUGCUGAAACAUAAAUAGGGUGAGCGAAUCUGCGACGGAACAAAACAAAGAUCAACGAGGUCUAGAUUCGAGCAUCGCUUAACCAUAAAAGUGUUUUCCAAGAAAAAAUCGCUGGUGAAACGGAAAAGGGACGAGAGAAUCUGCGACGGAACGGAACAAACUCGAGGCGCCGCUGGAUCCACACUUGUUGAACCCUAUUCCCUGCGCCGAGCCGAUCGACCAGAGACGCCCCAUUACACAUGAGCAAGAAUCGACGGAAACAGGGCAUAUCCUCCUCGGACAUACCAAUGGAAUGGGAGGAGGCGCCGCUAGCUGGCCUCGACCAAUCUCGCGACGGGGGCAAUGGUCGCCGGCGGCGGAGCAAAAGAGAGGGACGUGGAUUGCGAUUGCACGGGCGUGUUCCGGCCGGGCGGAGGCGACCAUGUAGAGGGAGAACAGGGCUGUUCUGGGAGAGAUUACUGAUUAGUGUGGAAGGGAAGCAAGGGGAGGGCGGAGGAGAAGGCUCUGGGUCCCUCUCCGCUGUGGUGCGGUCAGGUCAAGUACUCGAGUGCACGCGCUCGUCUGGGGAAGAGGCGAAGCAGCAACAAAUGGCAGCGGCGACGGGACGUGACGGAGCAGCCACCAGCACAGCAGGGAGGAGGAAGAGAGAGCUGUCUCUUNGAGGCUAUCAUAGGGAUGCGGGCGAGCUCUGGUGGGUCCGGUGCCUUGACCAAUGUUGGAGGAGAGGAGGAGUAAGAGCAUUUAUAAGCGGAUCCUUUAAACUCUUUUCAAAUCGUUUGGACAAAUCGAUCAUUAUACGUUCAUAAAAAAAUAGAUACAGACGGUUUUUUUAAACUGGCCCCAAACGUCCGGGCUGAUCGGCACCCAUUUGCAACCCAAAUAUGAGGCGGAUAAGGGGGAGCCCGCACGCCCGGGCACGCCCGUCAUGUUGGAUCCGACAGCCCGACCCUACCUCAAAUUGCACCAAAUUCCCUAAAUCCUUCCUCCUCCUCCCGCUGCCUGCCAACAUUUUCCGUGCCCGACCCCUCGCCGUUCGACACCCUUGCUCUCCAUCCUCACCACCUGUCCCGACCCAUCGCAGUGAUGUCUUCCAUCCUGUCCCCGACUUCCGCGACGGGGACACGGUUCGUCUCUUCCGUCGGCGGCCCUUCCUCCGUUUCGUCUUGCAUGCUGGAGAACGUCGCCCAUAAGUUGUGCCGUCGUCGACAGCGACAGAGGGAGUUGGCCGCACAAGUACAUGCGGGCGGCCACUUUGUAUCACGAGACCGAGAAGAUGCCAUUUGCUUUUAGCCAUUGUUGGCUCUUAUCGGAUGGCAAGCCAAAGUGGCAACAAAUUGUGGCUGACCUCAAGGCUGAAAAGAAGAGGAAUGAUGGCUCAAGCUUCCACCAAUCCAUUGGAUUGGACAAUGAUGAUGACGACGUUGUUGUCACCAAAGGAAACGCUAUCGUGCCAUAGGAUAACCAGCUACUCAUGGGAACUAAGUGGGAGAAGGUAAGGAUCUUCCAUGACGUCACUGCUACAAAAACGUCGUCCACAUGGACGAACAUUUUUCGACAAGGGAGAGCAAGAAAGAGGAGAGGUGCAAGCUUAUGUUGGAUGCGCAAAGGGAGAGGAUGGAGUGGGAUCGGACAAGGAUAGAGAGACGUCUUGAAAUUGAGAGGGAGAAGAUCGAGUUGGAGAAGCAAGAGGCGGCGAUCAAAUGUGAACUCCAGAAGGCCAAGACACUAGGAGACACUGAGCUCGAGAAGGAGAGGUUGCAACUCUCACGCGACACGGAGGAUGUAAAAAAUCAUGCUCGCGGAUGAAUCAACUUUGGAUGAACAUGUCAAAAAUGGCUUAUGGAUAGGAAGAAGGAGAUCAACGACCAUAGAGCAUUGGAGACGGCCAGGGAGGCCACGUUUGCGGCAGCGGAGCAGGCGGCUAGGAUGCAGGCGGUGGAGGCAGCCCGGAUGCAGACGGCGAUCAUUGCCAAGAUGCAAGCGGAGGAGGCAGCCCGGAUGCAGGCGGAGAUGGAUAUCCAGGCGGAGCAGGACGCAUGGACGAACUCGUUCGACCAGUGAUCCGACAACACUUGUCGGUCGGACAUCGAUUUCAUUUUGACAUGUCCGUUCGGUUGAACUAUGAUAUCAUUUGCUUUUGUUUAAAAUUAUUGAAUUCAGACAAUUUGUAUUGGAUGAUCGAUGUGCAUAGCCUUGUAUGUAUUUAAAACUCCGGAUAUGAGAUACGUGGAUGCACGAAUCAAAAUAUGAUGAGCCGUCCGAAUGCGUCCAUAUGCAUGUCCGGACGCGUCCACAGGAGUAUAAAAAGCCGGAUUUGUUCAAUUCAACCGUACAUGCUCUAAAUACUGCGCGGUUUGUACUUCUUGGCUUUGCAGCCUCUCGAAUCUCGAUUGUUCAAAGAUCUUCAAAUGUGAUGCUUAUAGCAUCUCCUAUAUUGAUAAAAAUUUGUAGAUGUAAAAACACAGAUAUAAAAUUUACUUUUUUAAAAGUGUUUUUUCACAUCUUUAUAAAGAGGCUAACUUCAACAAAUGAUGCAAAAUGUAGAUGUAAAAAAUGCAACUUUAAAAGCUGAUGCAAAAUGAAGUAGUAAAACUGGCCGACCGCGCACUGCUGUAGAUCCGCACAUUUUUAAAUAUAAACAUUCUGAAUUGAAACUUUAAUUUUUCACAUGUACACAAUAUCAAAUUAUUAUAUAAUUUUCCCAAACAGCUUGCAUUCGAGGUGGAACGAUUCGGCCGGUGAUGGGAUGGCCAGCCGCUCGAUGGCAGCUUGUGAGAACAAUGAAUGCAACUCGAUAAAGGAUACUACUAAAAAAUAGCUUAUAGAUAGAACAUUAUUAGUAUCACCGUUUUAGUGCCUCACGCUACUGUUACUUAGCACCAUCGUUGGCCAUCAACACGUGCUACAGAUAACUCAUAGCAGCAACGGCAUAAUUCAUGCGGUGUCAUCUCAACGGAUUUAGACGGUGCCCUAUUUAAAAUAAAUGCGACAGUUUUCAAUGCAUAUCCCAAAAUAAGAGCGGUAGAUCGAUCAAUCAAUAAUGAAUGCUCGUUAUGUUUCAUUUAGAGCACUUCUGCAUAUGUAUGUCUUCAUAUAAACUAAGGCUUGUCGUAGUGGGAGUAUCAUAAGAGCAAGUACAAUAGGGUACAGUCAGCAGCUGUAAAGAUUAAAAUACUAUAUUUUUACUGAGUUGGAUGAGAGAGAAGAGGAGAGAGAUGGGAAGCGGGCUCUUCGUGAAGAGCCAGCUCUAGCACGUUCUCCUAGGUACUUUGUGAGAAUGAAAUAUGGGACAUAUAUGAUAAAAGUAGUACUUUUUUAUAACUAACUAUUGUAUAAGCUGGCUAUAAGAUGGGCUAUAAGAUGGCUUAUAGCCAGCAGUUGGCUAUACUAUUAACCAUGCUCUAAGUAGUAUCAUGCAUGCCAACUAGGCAUAUUUGAUGAGGUGACAUGAAAUUAAAUGAGGAAAGAGAGGGUUGAGUAUCAUAUUAUGAUACCGUAUCAUAUUAAAUGUUGUGCUACUAUGUGUCAUGCAUGACAAUAAAUGAACUAUUCUAUGAUACUAGCACAUGAUACUAUGCAUUACGGACGUAGUAUCAUACACUAGUAUCAUAUGAAUGAUACUACUAUAUGAUACUCUUCAUUACAACAGCCUAAGGCUGCCCGUAAUGGUAGUAUCAUGCAUGCCAACUAAACACUUUCAAUAAGGUGGCAUAGAAUUAAAUGAAGAAAGAGAUGGUUGAGUAUCAUAUCAUGAUACUGUAUCAUAUUAAAUGGUGUGCUACUAUGUGUCUUGCAUGGCAAUAAAUGAACUACACUAUGAUACUAAUAUAUGAUACUAUGCAUUACGGAUGUGAUAUCAUACACUAGUAUCAUAUGCAUGAUACUAGUAUAUGAUACUACUCAUUACAACCAGCCUAAUGGUAAUCCAUAAAAGAAUGAUCUAUGUCUCCAUGCGGCCGGCACGGGUGGUCAGUGGCCUGUAGAACCUCGCGAUGGUGGGGCAUCCCUGCACCGUUGUGGCCCGAUCUUGGUCCAGAGUUAAUUGCAAAAGACUACCACAAUUCGGAUCGUAUUCAUAAGUUGGUGCCAUCUUUCAAUUUUUUUGCAAAUACGUACCAAGAUACAGGCAGCUUGUUGCAAAACUUGUAUUUUUACGUAUAGAUGCUCUUUCUGACAGAUAUGACCCACCGGUUAGUCUCUUACAAGAAUAACCGGCCCGGACCGCUUCGAUCCGGGGAAAACCGACUCUUUCUCUCCAUCCAGACCGGACAGGCAAAAAAAAAACCUUCGUCUCCUCCAGACCGAACCCACCAUCUCCCCUCCUCCUCCACCCCUCCUACCCCUCACCGCCACCACCGGCACACCCCGCCGGCCACUCCCUCCAACGCCUAGAGAUGCAGAUGCUGGUGCGGCUGGCGGCGCCGGCCGUGCUGGUGUACAUGAUCAACUACCUCAUGUCCAUGUCCACGUAGAUCUUCGCCGACCACCUUGGCACCCUCGAGCUCGCCGCCGCCUCCCUCGGCAACACCGGCAUCCAGGUCUUCGCAUACGGCCUCAUGGUACGUACGCACGCACGCACGAGCCUCCCUCCAUGGAUUUGACCAUCAGCAGCAGUAGGAGUACUUCUCAUCGAAUCCAGGGGAUUCUCCAUCGGGCUCAGAUAGUCAGAUUAAUCAUUAAUCAAAUCAAAUCUACCAGCACCCGGAUUCCAGCCAACUCGUCGUAGGCUACGCGUCGAUCGGCGUAGCAGCUGAGCUGUCAACGUUUGGCCUCGUGUAGUUGACUGCUCCUAUAAUUAACGCCGGAUACCGAGCACGAGCAGCAGCAGCAACAACAGCACUGAACUUUAGACUCGGUCGCAGGACGAGUGCAGCAGCGUUUGCUUUGAUUUGGAGGAGCAGGGGAGAUGGUGAGGAGGCGGGGGCGGGGACGGAGGAGGGAGGGGCGGUGCUGGUGAGGGUGGAGGGAGUAGCCGGAGGGGUGUGGCAGUGGUGGCGGUGAGGGGGAGGCGGGGUGGAGGAGCAGGGGAGAUGGGGGAGAUGCCUGUCCGGACUUGAUGGAGAGAAAGAGUCGGGUUUCUCCGGAUCGAAGCGGUCCGGGCCGGUUUUUCUUGUAAGAGACUGACCGGUGAGCCAUAUCUGUCAAAAAGAGCAUCUAUACGUAGAAAUACAAGUUUUCCAACAAGCUGCCUGUAUCUUGGUACGUAUUUGCAAAAAAAUUAAAAGAUGGCACCAACUUGUGAAUACGGCCCGAAUUGUGGUAGUUUUUUGCAAUUAACUCCUUGGUCCUGGUGGUUGCAGACAACGCGGGCUACGCUCGGUGUCACCCGGAGACCUGUAUUGCAUCCUUUGCAGUGGUGAUUGAAUGCGGUCGGUUUAUCUGGUCGCUUCCUCCCAAUGCUCGGCUUGCUUUCCUCCGUACAGACCUGGGUCGCCUUGUGUGUCUUGCCGGUCCUCGAUGCGGAUGGAGAUGGAGGUGGGAUUCAGACCAAGAGAAAUCUUUUGUCGGCCCUGGUUGGUGACAACGACGUCGACCGAGGGGCGAGGGCGCCAUUUCUUUGUUAGCCAUAAUCCUGACUUAGUAUGUGUUGUCCAGGUCGUGUGCCAUUGUGAAGAUCCAGCACGACCAAUGGACAUGAUGCAUGCAACAGGUGGAGGAGGAGGCACGAUGGCACCAGGUCUUGCGGAGGAGCGGGCUGCUCACGUUCGAGGGAAGAUCGGAUCACCAGGUGAGCUCGUGGCUGCGUAUGGUUGUUGGCCGAAUGAUAGGCCUGGUCCUUGGACGUUGGAGCGAAUCAAGGAGAGGUUAGUUGCUUAGUGGACGGGUCAUGUGGUAGUGGCCGUACGUGGUGGUCAUGCGUUGUGGCUAGCUACUUAGUCUCGUUAGUGGGGUGUGUGUGACCGUUGGCCUGUGUGUGCAGCCGGCUUUAAAAGCCCCGUGUGUACUGUUUGUAGAAGGUGCCGGUGUGUGUAGCCGUGCUCCGGUGUGUUGCCGAGCGACGGGGUGUGCCGAGCCAAGUGUGAGGGGCCUAGAAGAUGUAGUCUUCGUCGGGACCGUGAUGUGUGUCCGGUAAACGUGAGAGUUCUUCCGGGUUGUGCAGCGUGCGUGCGUGUGUACCUCAUGUAUGUGUUUGAGUCGUAGAGAGAAAUAAAGCCAAGAUACAGGCGUUGGUGCGCCGCGGCGUUCGUCGCCGGAAAGAUCGUGGUAUCUCCUUCGUCUACCUUCGUCCGGCGUUUAGGUCGCCGGUAGGUUUGUCCCAACAGUUGGUAUCAUGAGCUUGGUUGGUUUGAGUGUGGUUCGGAGUGCCGGAGGUGUACCAGCGAUGACGGCAUUCGUCGGCGACAACGCGAAGCUUCGGGCCGUGUGUCGGCCUAUGAAGGUGCGCGGCGCUGCGGCUGUCGUGACGAACACGGAGGCAACGCAUGGUGAGUCCGCAACGAGCGCUCCGAACAUGGAGGCCGAGGCAGCGCGGUUGCAGCACAUAGCGAGAGCAUGGAGACGGCGACGUGCUGCGAGUCCACAACGAUGGUAACCGGCGUAUGUGCGCCAGGUCGAGUCUGGCAUGGUGGUGAUCGGCAAGAGCGCGUCCAGGACAGAGGCGUGCGAGCGGCGGCCGGCGACGAGUGCAAGAUGGCGGUCCACAACAAGCUAUGUCAAGAUUAAAGGGGAAAUUGUUAGCCAUAAUCCUGACUUAGUAUGUGUUGUCCAGGUCGUGUGCCGUUGUGAAGAUCCAGCACGACCAAUGGACGUGAUGCAUGCAACAGGUGCAGGAGGAGGCACGAUGGCACCAGGUCUUGCGGAGGAGCGGGCUGCUCACGUUCGAGGGAAGACCGGAUCACCAGGUGAGCUCGUGGCUGCGUAUGGUUGUUGGCCGAAUGAUAGGCCUGGUCCUUGGACGUUGGAGCGAAUCAAGGAGAGGUUAGUUGCUUAGUGGCCGGGUCAUGUGGUAGUGGCCGUAUGUGGUGGUCAUGCGUUGUGGCUAGCUACUUAGUCUCGUUAGUGGGGUGUGUGUGGCCGCUGGCCUGUUUGUGCAACCGGCUAUAAAAGCCCCGCGUGUACUGUUUGUAGAAGGUGCCGGUGUGUGUAGCCGUGCUCCGGUGUGUUGCCGAGCGACGGGGUGUGCCGAGCCAAGUGUGAGGGGCCUAGAAGAUGUAGUCUUCGUCGGGACCGUGAUGUGUGUCCGGUCGAUGUGAGAGUUCUUGCGGGUUAUGCAGCGUGCGUGCGUGUGUACCUCAUGUAUGUGUUUGAGUCGUAGAGAGAAAUAAAGCCAAGAUACAAGCGUUGGUGCGCCGCGGCGUUCGUCACCGGAAAGAUCGUGGUAUCUCCUUCGUCUACCUUCGUCCGGCGUUUAGGUCACCGGUGGGUUUGUCCCAACAAUUGGUAUCAUGAGCUUGGUUAGUUUGAGCGUGGUUCGGAGUGUCGGAGGCGUACCAGCAAUGGCGGCAUUCGUCGGCGACAACGUGAAGCUUCGGGCCGUGUGUCGGCCUAUGGAGGUGCGCGGCGCUGCGGCUGUCAUGACGAACAUGGAGGCGGCACGCGGUGAGUCCACAACGGGCGCUGCGAACAUGGAGGCCGAGGCGGCGCGGUGGCAGCACAUAGCGAGAGCAUGGAGACGGCGACGGGCUGCGAGUCCACAAUGGUGGUAACCGACGUAUGUGCGUCAGGUCGAGUCUGGCAUGGUGGUGAUCGGCAAGAGCGCGUCCAGGACAAAGGCGUGCGAGUGGCGGCCGGCGACGAGUGCAAGAUGGCAGUCGACAACGAGCUAUGUCAAGAUUAAAGGGGAAAUUGUUAGCCAUAAUCCUGAUUUAGUAUGUGUUGUCCAGGUCGUGUGCCGUUGUGAAGAUCCAGCACGACCAAUGGACGUGAUGCAUGCAGCAGGUGCAGGAGGAGGCACGAUGGCACCAUGUCUUGCGGAGGAGCGGGUUGCUCACGUUCAGGGAAGACCGGAUCACCAGGUGAGCUUGUGGCUGCGUAUGGUUCUUGGCCAAAUGAUAGGCCUCGUCCUUGGUACGUAGGAGCGAAUCAAGGAGAGGUUAGUUGCUUAGUGGCCGGGUCAUGUGGUAGUGGCCAUACGUGAUGGUCAUGCAUUGUGGCUAGCUACUUAGUCUCGUUAGUGGGGUGUGUGUGGCCGGUGGCCUGUGUGUGCAGCCGGCUAUAAAAGCCCCGUGUGUACUGUUUGUAGAAGGUGUCGGUGUGUGUAGCCAUGUUCCGGUGUGUUGCCCAGCGACGGGGUGUGCCGAGCCAAGUGUGAGGGGCCUAGAAGAUGUAGUCUCCAUCGGGACCGUGAUGCGUGUCCGGUCGACGUGAGAGUUCUUCCGGGUUGUGCAGCGUGCAUGCGUUUGUACCUCAUGUAUGUGUUUGAGUUCUAGAGAGAAAUAAAGCCAAGAUACAGGCGUUGGUGCGCCGCGGCGUUCGUCGCCGGAAAGAUCGUGGUAUCUCCUUAAUCUACCUUCUUCCGGCGUUUAGGUCGCCGGUGGGUUUGUCCCAACAGUUGGUAUCAUGAGCUUGGUUGGUUUGAGCGUGGUUCGGAGUGCUGGAGGCGUAUCAGCGAUGGCGGCAUUCGUCGGCGACAACGCGAAGCUUCAGGCUGUGUGUAGGCCUAUGGAGGUGCGCGGCGCUGCGGCUGUCGUGACGAACACAGAGGCGGCGCGCGGUGAGUCCGCAACGAGCGCUGCAAACAUGGAGGCCGAGGCGGCGCGAUUGCAACACAUAGCAAGAUCAUGGAGACGGAAACGGGCUGCGAGUCCACAACGGUGGUAACCGACGUAUGUGUGCGAGGUCGAGUCCGGCAUGGUGGUGAUCGGCAAGAGCGCGUCCAGGACAACGGCGUGCGAGCGGCGGCUGACGACCAGUUUAAGAUGGCGGUCAACAACAAGCUAUGUCAAGAUUAAAGGGGAAAUUGUUAGCCAUAAUCCUGACUUAGUAUGUGUUGUCGAGGUCGUGUGCCGUUGUGAAGAUCCAGCACGACCAAUGGACGUGAUGCAUGCAGCAGGUGCAGGAGGAGGCACAAUGGCACCAGGUCUUGCGGAGGAGCGGGCUGCUCACGUUCGAGGGAAGACCGGAUCACCAGGUGAGCUCGUGGUCGCGUAUGAUUGUUGGCUGAAUGAUAGGCCUGGUCCUUGGACGUUGGAGCGAAUCAAGGAGAGGUUAGUUGCUUAGUGGCCGGGUCAUGUGGUAGUGGCCGUACGCGGUGGUCAUGCGUUGUGGCUAGCUACUUAGUCUCGUUAGUGGGGUGUGUGUGGCCGCUGGCUUGUGUGUGCAGCCGGCUAUAAAAUCCCCGUGUGUACUGUUUGUAGAAGGUGCCGGUGUGUGUAGCCGUGCUACGGUGUGUUGCCGAGCGACGGCGUGUGCCGAGCCAAGUGUGAGGGGCCUAGAAGAUGUAUCCGUCAGGACCGUGAUGUGUGUCCGGUCGACGUGAGAGUUCUUCCAGGUUGUGCAGUGAUACGUCUCCGUCGUAUCUACUUUUCCGAACUCUUUUGCCCUUGUUUUGGACUCUAAUUUGCAUGAUUUGAAUGGAACUAAACCGGGCUAACGCUGUUUUCAGCAGAAUUGCCAUGGUGUUGUUUUUGCGCAGAAAUAAAAGUUCUCGGAAUGACCUGAAAAUUUACGGAGAUUUUUUCUGGAAUUAAUGAAAAAUAUUGGCGCAAGAAUCAGCGGAGGAAGUGGAGCCGUGAGCUCACAACCCCACCAGGCGCGGCCCCCCUGGCCGCGCUUGACAGGCUUGUGGGGCCCACAAAGCUCCACCUGCUCUCAAUCCAGCUCUAUUUAGCCUCUUUCAUACGAAAAAAAAUCAAGGAGAAGAGUUCAUCGCGUUUUACGAUACGAAGGCGCCGUCACCUCCUAUUCUUCAUCUAGAGGGCAGAUCUGGAGUCCGUUUUGGGCUCCGGAGAGGGGAGAUCAUCGCCAUCGUCAUCAUCAACCUUCCUUCAACGCCAAUUCCAUGAUGCUCUUCACCGUUCGUGAGUAAUCUCAUCGUAGGAUUGCAGGAUGGUGAUUGGUUGGAUGAGAUCUAUCAUGUAAUCGAGUUAGUUUUGAUGGGGAUUGAUCCCUAGUAUCCACUAUGUUCUGAGAUUGAUGUUGCUACUACUUUGCCAUGCUUAUGCUUGUCACUAGGGCCCGAGUGCCAUGAUUUCAGAUCUGAACCUAUUAUGUUGUCGCUAAUAUAUGUGUGUUUUAGACCCUACCUUGCAAGUUGUAGUCACCUACUAUGUGUUAUGACCCGGCAACCCCGGAGUGACAGUAGCCGGAACCACUCCCGGAGAUGAACAUAGUACGAGGAGUUCAUGUAUUCAUCAAGUGUUAAUGCGUUGGUCCGGUUCUUUAUUAAAAGGAGAACCUUAAUAUCCCUUAGUUUCCAUUAGGGCUCCGCUGCCACGGGAGGGAUGGACAAUAGAUGUCUUAAACGUCCUCAUCCCUAAGCACGUAUGACUAUAUACGGAAUACAUGCCUACGUUUGAUUGACGAACGGGAGCUAGUUACAUAUCUGUCCGUGUUAUAACUGUUACAUGAUGAAUAGCAUCCGGCAUAAUCAUCCAUCACCGAUCCAAUGCCUACGAGUUUUUCCUACUGGUCCUUGCUACGUUACUUUACCGCUAUUGUUGUCACUGUUUCUGCUGUUACUCUGUUGCUACUGUUGUUACUUUGCUGCUACUGGUUACUGUUGCUACUGCUGCUAUCAUACUACCCUGCUACUGAUACUUUGCUGCAGACACUAAAUCUUUUAGGUGUGGUUGAAUUGACAACUCAACUGCUAAUACUUGAGAAUAUUAUUUCGCUUCCCCUUGAGUCGAAUCAAUAAAUUUGGGUUGAAUACUCUAUCCUCGAAAACUGUUGCGAUCCCCUAUACUUGUGGGUUAUCAAGACUAUUUUCUGGCGCCGUUGCCGGGGAAGCACAACUAUAUUCUCUGAGUCACUUGGGAUCUACGUCUGCUGGUCACUAUGAGGAAUCCGAUAGAUCCAAGAACUAAAGUCUUGCCCUCAAUUACGAGGACAGGUAAGGAACUGCCAUCUAGCUCUGCACUUGAUUCACCUUCAGUUAUGAGUAAGUUUGCGACACCGUAUCCUGCUAGAAAUCUUGAUAUGUCGCGUGUGCUUGAUGAUGCUACUUCUACUAUCCAUGAUGCUUAUGAUGAUGAUAUGCUUGAUACUGCUUUUCCACUAGGUGCAUUCCUUGAUGCACAAAUUGCUAGAGUUGCUGCUAGAUGUGAUGAUACUUCUGAAACUGCUGAUACUAUUGAAGUAGAACCUGCUAUUUUUCCUGCUAGAACUAGCUCUCCUAGAAAUGAAUUGCCUGAUAUGCCUGAGCGCUAUGUUAUGGAGGGAGAGAUAACUAAGGACUUUCUUGCUUGUGAGGAUAGCUAUGAUGUUGAGAAAUUAUUGUUCAAGUGGAAAGAAAAAUCUAUGAACGCUAGGAUGAAAUACGACCAGAAGUUUGCUACUUCGCCUAUUUUUGUGACCGAUAAGGAUUAUGAAUUCUUUGUCUACCCUGAGUUAAUCACUUUGGUCAAAUCUGAUCCUUUUUACGGUUAUGAGUCUGAAACGGUUGUAGCCCAUCUUACCAAACUGCACGAUAUAGCCACCCUAUUCACUAGUGAGGAAAAGGUCCGCCACUACUAUAUCCUCAAGCUGUUUCCUUUCUCGCUAAAGGAUGAUGCUAAGACUUGGUUCACUUCUCUUGCUCCUGGUUGUGUGCGUAGCCCCGAGGAUAUGGUCUACUACUUCUCUAAAAAAUAUUUCCCUGCCCAUAAGAAGCAAGCUGCCUUGCAGGAAAUAUACAACUUUGCUCAAGCUGGAGAAGAAAGUCUCCCACAAGCUUGGGGGAGGCACUACUGGAAAAACAUAAUUUGCCGACAGCUUUCAGCUUUGCCGUCAGCAAUUUCACGGGGCUGACGGCAAAGAGACUUUGCCCUCAGCCAAAAUAAAUGCUGACGACAUAGAAAAUCUAUGCCAUCCGCUUUAUCUAAGCCGUUAGCCAGCUGACGACAAAGGACAAAAAACACUGUCGGCAUAGGGAGGCUGACGGCAUAGGGGGCUAACCCGGUCGCACGUUCGACCAGUGCUUAACGGGGGCCGUCUUUGCCGACAGCCAGCUGAGGGCAAAGACUAACGGCUGUCUUUGCCGACAGCUGGCUGAGGGCAAAGACUAAUGCCUGUCUUCGCCGACACCUGGCUGAGGGCAAAGCCACGUGCCUUAUCCCCCCGUGCCACGACCUAACCCCUCUUCUCUCUCACGUACUUCUCCCACCCUGCUCUCCCGACCCACCACCGUCGUCGACCCUACUCGCCCUGCGCCGCCCCGCCCUGCGCCGCCCCGCGCCGCCCCUACUCGCCCUGUCUCUUAUACACAUCUCUGANUAUUUAGUGGGAUUGUAGAUUAAUUAUGUGGCAUACAAGCAUGGUUUGUUGAUGUGGAAGCAUUGCAUGCUUAGGAAAAAUACUUUGUGGGUUGCAACUAUUUAAGAAUAGAAGAUGCAUGUGUAAGACUGAGGAUUGAAAAACAGAGGAAAAGUACAUGAAUAUGAAACAAAUGAAACGUUUGAAAUGGAUGCCUUAGUUAGAUCCUAUGGAAUUUGCAUUCCUGCGUUUUCCUAUGAAAAAUCCUUCAAAUCAAAGGAGGCCUGAGUUAGAUCUGUUAGUAGUGGAUUUUUAGUUAAAUUUAGUUAGCAAUUACUUAGUGGUAGAUUUUUAGUUAGAUUUAGUUAGCAAUAGAUGUUAGUACAUGUAAGUAUUAGUUAGCUAGCUGUUAGUAUUAGUCAGCUAGCUGUUAGUUUUAGUUAGCUAGCUGUUAGCAACAGAAAGAAAAUAAUAAGAAGAAAAGAAAUAGAAGAAGAGAAGAGUAACAAAACUUGAAUAAUAAAUUAUUAAUAAUAGAUGUUAGUAUUAGUUAGCUUAAUUACCGUGAGUGUGUAUUUGUGUUGAUUGAGUGCAUUUAAAUGUGCAGUAGCUUCUCCGCGAGGGAUUGGUUUUCUACGACCUCCCAUGCAUUCGAAAGUGAGCACAUUUGUUAACUCCUCCUCCACCCCCUUUAUUUUGCUCUGUUCCGGCCUUCGUGCUGAUGACACUAUCUAGCUAGGUAUUUUUAGUAUUAAAAUGCAAAGGUGUUGCGUAACCAAUAUGCGUCUCCCGUUUGAAAGGGUUCCUGUCAUAAAUAUGCAUGCAUUUGCAUAUUUAUAACGGUGAUUCUUUCGAAUUGUCCAACGUUAUCCAUGGACAGCCCGGGUAUGUGUAGAUUGGGUCGUUUCCCACGCUUUGCUCCGGAUCCCAUGCAGAGUUUCGACAGCUCCUCCUUGUUGUUCUCCAGGUACACAUCCUCUCGGUUAGUUGCCGAGACGUGUAUCAGGAAAACAGCGGGGAGGUGCUGCCGAAAUUUUGUGUUGGGUCGGGAGCAGAGCAUGGGGAAAUGACCCAAUCUACACAUACUCGGGUGGGAUUAGGACCCAUCUUUACCUAGUAGCUGGUAGGUGUGCAUGUCGUGCAUCCCAAUGUAUUAACCAUGAUUAAAAAAUGGCCAUAAUUAAUUUAACAUACUUGAUGAAUUGAUAAUUUAUAUUGUUUUAUAUGUGGAUACUGUGUAGCUAGCUUGCCAGAAUGACUGAUCGUGAAUGGAUGUACACCGGUCACCGUAGUCAGAGAGAUAUGACCGAUGAAUGGUUGAGAAAAACCUAUGAAUUCGUGGAAACGGCGUUUUCUAAAGGCCAGCCAAAAACAUGGUGCCCCUGCACUAAGUGCAAGAAUUAUUCGCGACAGACAAAGGAUGUAAUGGGUAAACACCUGUAGAUGCGUGGUUUUACUCCCGGCUAUACCUUGUGGACAUUUCAUGGUGAGUCGGCCCAACGUAACAGAGACGAGGUGUUGCGUCGGCGCACCGAUGAUUAUGGUACAGGGAUUGAAGACAUGGUGAAUGACUUUGAUGAUGCUCGGAACAAGGACGAAGAGAUGGAGGAAUCCGCGAAAGCCUUCUAUGCCAUGUUGGAGUCUUCAAAACGUCCUCUUCACGAGCAUACUAAGAUUUCUCAGCUAGAUGCCAUCGCACAAGUAAUGGCUCUGAAAGCCCAGUUCAACAUUGGAAGAGACCUGUUUGACUCAGUGAUGACCCUAUUUGGGCGCUUUCUACCAGAAGGUCAUAUUAUGCCUUCAAACCUAUAUGAGACAGACAAAAUCCUUAGUGCACUCAAGAUGCCGUAUGAGCAGAUACAUGCUUGUGAGAAGGGAUGUGCCUUAUUUAGGAAAGAGUAUGGGGACGAAACAUAUUGUCCAUUUUGCAAGUCCUCCAUAUAUGUUGAGGUAGAAAACGGUGAAGGUGAGAAGAAGCAGAGCAAAAUCCCCGUGAGUGUCCUACGGUAUCUGCCGAUCCUACCAAGACUUCAAGGACUUUACAUGCUCGAAGAAACAGCAAAUCAGAUGACAUGGCACAAACAUGGAAUUAGGAAAGAAUUAGAUGAACACGGAGUUCCGAUGUUGGUACACCCUUCAGAUGGUGACGCAUGGAAGGCAUUCAAUAGUAUACAUAAGGAAAAAAGCUAAAGAACCAAGGAAUUGUCGAACCGCCAUCAGCCUCGAUGGGUUCAAUCCUUUUGGUAUGAGGGCUACCCAAUAUAGUUGCUGGCCUGUAUUUGUCAUUCCCCUCAAUCUUCCACCACCAUCCAUUAUGCAAAGAAAGCACAUAUUUCUGACGUUGAUAGUUCCAGGGCCAAAAUACCCGGGGAAGAAUAUGAGUGUGUACAUGCAACCGCUGAUGGAUGACUUGAAAGAAGCUUGGGUGAAUGGGGUCAACACAUACGACGCAGCUAAGAAAGAGAGCUUUCAAAUGUAUGUUUGGUACCAAUACUCGUUGCAUGAUCUGCCAGCAUUUGCGCUUUUCGUUGCCUGAUGUGUGCAUGGAAGGUUCCCAUGCCCACAAUGCAAGGCAGCUCUUAAGUUUCAUUGGUUGCCGGCGGGUGGGAAGUAUUCCUGCUUUGACUUGCAUAGACAAUUCUUGCCUAUGGACCAUCCAUUCAGAAAAGACAAGAAGAAUUUCAUGAAAGGUAAAGUUGUCAAACACUCAGCACCACCUGCGUUGACGGGGGCACAAAUUAAUGAACAGUUAAAAUCUAUGGAGCCUGAUCCAAACCGUCCAGGGUAUUUCUUGGGUUAUAAUGAGGAACACGCCUGGACCCACAAGCCAUGCAUCUGGGAUCUCCCCUACUUCGAAGACCUCUUACUUCCACACAACAUUGACAUGAUGCACACUGAAAAGAAUAUCGCCGAGGCCCUUCUUGGCACAUUUUUCGGCACUGAUAAGGGCAAAGAUAAUACAAAGGCUAGAGUUGACCAGGAGACUCUGUGUGAUAGGCCAUCACUAAACAUGCGAGAACCGAAAGGAAGAAAAAAUUGGUCCAAACCACCUGCCUAGUACAAUCUUGAGAAGGGAGCAAUAAGGGAAAUCCUCUUGUGGGUGCAAAAAAAGUUGUCGUUCCCCGAUGGGUAUGCUGCGAAUCUAGCGAGGGGAGGAACAAGACUCACGUGAUGAUGAGGAAGAAGUGGAAGUAGAAGAAGUUACCAAUGCCGAUGAGCUAUCAAUGCUUGAUCGGUUACAAAAAGGCCUUCCACAUGAUGUCCCUGAACCCGAUGACGAUAUCAGUCAUGACGACACGUGUGAUACUGAUGAUGAUUUUGCUUCAAUUGACCAUGGAGAAGAGACAGAUGAUCCAGACUAUUAGUACUUUGUAUGCAUCCAAACAUUGUUGUUUAAUUAUUCAAUUAUUAGUUGAAUUAUUCAUGUAUUUAUUAUUGUUCAUUUAAUUACUGUCCUUGAAUUUGUACUAAUUAUUUAACUAUUUAUCGUUACAGGUGGUGAGACAUGGCAGGCGGGGAUAAGUUGAGGAUAGCACCUGGGCAGCUACGGAGAACUUUGUUGCAGAGCUUUGCCGAGGAGCCCAGUGGGAGUGGCAUAGGAAAGAAGAGAGGCAGAUGACGUGGUCGUGGGAGAGGGAGGCUGCAUGAUAGGAGCCAGUCUCCACCACCCUCGGCUACUUCUGUCUCAACCACUUCACCCUUGCAGACGAGGGUGUCACCGGUGCGAGAUCCUCCCGUCCAGGAGCAGACACCGAUGCAGGGGGCUGAGGCGCAGGCUGAGGUGGAGGGGGCUGAGGCGGAGGCUGAGGCGGAGGGUGCGGAGGCAGAGGGGGCUGAGGCAGAGGCUGAGGGGGCUGCUAGCAAGUCGGUCUACCAACGUGGUAUGACACGAGUUCCAGACCGAUUGGAGUUGCAGCACAGGCCGUUCAUUAAGCCAGAUGGCGGGAAGUAAGUUGAUAUAUAUUGUGUACCUUAUAUCAUUAUAUUUCACCAAGUAGCUAAUGUCUUUGCCUUAUCAUUAUGUAGGGGGUAGGAUUACCCGCAGAAUACCCGGAAUCCAAACUGCCUCCUUGGUGCUUUACUUAGGGAGCACUUCCCCGGAAUAGUGCAGUUGCCCGGUGAGGGUAUGGUUCCCGAGCCACGACUCAAGUGGGAGCACUACCAAGCCGCUCUGCUCCCGGAAAACACACAUGUCAAUGGUGUUGUUUGCGUGAGCGUGGCCAACAAGGUGUUGGCUGAUUUUUGGGUAACUAUUAUUUUACCCAAUAAAAAGUAUACAAUGUUAUAUGUUGUUAUUUCCUUCCAAAUCAUUUCACUAUUCAUCUGUGCAUCUAUUUGGCAUAAUUGCAGAGUUACUUUAGGGUCGAGGAGGGAACGGAGGAGGCGGCCAAGAAGAACCUCGUGAAAGAGUGCAAGAGUUUAUUGAAUAACACGAGGCACGAGUUGCGUGUUCAGGCUGUUCGAGAUUGGUACGCCAAGCAAGGGGAGCCGAAGAGAAAGACUGAAUGUCGAAAGAUUUUCCUUGAUAAGACCGAGUACAUGGAGGUAUGUACAUUCCAAAGAUCAAUUCUUAGGGCUAGUUAGGUCUAUUUAAUUAUAAUACUUAGUUUCAUUCUUCAUUAACUUACAUUCAUAGGUGCCCCCGAGAUGGUUGGCCGAUAAGAUGGAUUGUUGGGAGAUGAUAGCGGACAGGUGGUGCACAGAGGCUUGGUUGAGCACCCACACUAUGGCCAAGGACCGUCGUGCCCAAUUGGUUGGUGUGCCACACCACCAAGGCAAUGCCAACAUCAAGAAAUACGCCAAAAAAUGGGUAUGUGUGCCUUGUUUUGUUUCAUCAAUAAUUCGUUCGUUCAUGAUUUUUGUUGUACUAAUUCUUUGUCUUUUCAUGUAGGCCAAACACAAUAACCAACCCGAGCCUGAGGGAUACGCCGCGUUUAGCAUGGCCCAUAAGGGCUCGUACAAGACGGCGAAGGCAUAUUCUGAGGGGGACAUGCCGUCGGCGUACACAAGCCUGUCUACCUACAACAAGAUGACGUCUUAUUCUGAGGUGGUCAAACAGCUACGCGGGCCUGACUUUGACCCGAGCCAGAAUCCUAUCGAUCCAGAGGCGUUAAUGAUCUCUGGUGGCGGUAAGAGUCAUGGCACACUGGCCAUGUGUGAUGGCUUCGUCCCUAUCACCGAGACUCUAUCUCAGAUCAAGUCGAGGCAAACGAGCUCCGCUCCUGUAAUACGGCAACGCGCGAGGCCAGUUGAUCUUGCCAUUGAGGUUAGUUUUCUUCAUUAUUUCUUCCGUUCUUUUGUCCCUGGAUGGAUGAUGAAAAUUCCUUUUGAGGAGUGGUUGCAGGCUGCACUUAUGAAGGAGAGGGAGGCCACCAGGCUCUUGUUGGAGGAGAGGGACCGGAAUAUGCAGAGGUUGCUUGACGAGGAGAGGGCACGCAAUAAUGCCCAUGCGAAGGCCAUGCACGACUUCGUUGCGGUAAGUCAGUUGUGUGAGAAGCAAGGCUAUGUGUGAGACGCAACAAGGCUAUUUCUUUGACUCCUCAAAAACUAAUUUGCAGGCUAUGUGUGAGAAGCAAGGUUUGCCGCCCCCUCCGCCGAUGCCUUCUCCGGUGGGAACGGUGAGUUCGCUUUCAAUGACCAACCUUGCACGGUCUUAUACCAUUGUCUGUCGCCGUGCUAACCACAUAUUUUAACUCUUGCCUUGUUGCAGCAUCAUUCCAGAGUUGAAUCCCACGAUCCCUUUACUUCUCCUGGUGAGAGCCCUAGCAACCCAGCGACCAACGGAGAUGCAGCUUCUCCUCUGUUUCUUAGCAUUCGGUAAGUUAACUCCUCUCCUUCUUAUUCUUCUUAUUGUUUAGAUCAACUUAGAUUAUGCCAGGCUUUAGUUAGCUUAGUAAAUUCUAGUUGAUAUUAGCCAUGGUUUAGUUAGCUUAGUAAAUUCUAGUUGAUAUUAGAGCUCAAAAAUGACAUAAUUAGUUUAGAAAGUUCUAAAAGAAACCAGAAGAGAAGAACAAACAAGAGAUGAAGAAAUAAGAGAAGAAGAAAGAGGAGAAAAAGAUAACUUCNNNNNNNNNNNNNNNNNNNNNNNNNNNNNNNNNNNNNNNNNNNNNNNNNNNNNNNNNNNNNNNNNNNNNNNNNNNNNNNNNNNNNNNNNNNNNNNNNNNNNNNNNNNNNNNNNNNNNNNNNNNNNNNNNNNNNNNNNNNNNNNNNNNNNNNNNNNNNNNNNNNNNNNNNNNNNNNNNNNNNNNNNNNNNNNNNNNNNNNNNNNNNNNNNNNNNNNNNNNNNNNNNNNNNNNNNNNNNNNNNNNNNNNNNNNNNNNNNNNNNNNNNNNNNNNNNNNNNNNNNNNNNNNNNNNNNNNNNNNNNNNNNNNNNNNNNNNNNNNNNNNNNNNNNNNNNNNNNNNNNNNNNNNNNNNNNNNNNNNNNNNNNNNNNNNNNNNNNNNNNNNNNNNNNNNNNNNNNNNNNNNNNNNNNNNNNNNNNNNNNNNNNNNNNNNNNNNNNNNNNNNNNNNNNNNNNNNNNNNNNNNNNNNNNNNNNNNNNNNNNNNNNNNNNNNNNNNNNNNNNNNNNNNNNNNNNNNNNNNNNNNNNNNNNNNNNNNNNNNNNNNNNNNNNNNNNNNNNNNNNNNNNNNNNNNNNNNNNNNNNNNNNNNNNNNNNNNNNNNNNNNNNNNNNNNNNNNNNNNNNNNNNNNNNNNNNNNNNNNNNNNNNNNNNNNNNNNNNNNNNNNNNNNNNNNNNNNNNNNNNNNNNNNNNNNNNNNNNNNNNNNNNNNNNNNNNNNNNNNNNNNNNNNNAUCUUGUUUGCACUUUAAUUACAUAUAUUCGUGCUGUUUGCACUUGUGUUGUGCUGUUUGCACUUUGUGAUGCACUUGUGGUGUUGUUUAGGGGCUGGGGAAAUAUAUAUAUGUUGUUGUUUGUAUCUAUGUUUUGCGAAUGCAGGGAAUUAACAGAAAACAAAUAUGAAAAAAAGCAGAGAGGGUCUUUGCCUACAGCUCACUGACGGCAAAGGCUUUGCCGUCGGUCGACUGACGGCAAAGAAGACACAUGGCGGCAGCCUGUGUAUCCUGGCAACUCUGGGAAUACCAAAUUUUCGGCUUUGCCGUCAGCUGGGCUCCAGCUGUCGGCAAAGAGGCGGCCAAGAGGACCCAGGGGUUUCGGCUUUGCCGUCAGCUUUGCUACGGCUGUGGGCAAAGAGGGGACCUAGGGGUUUUGGCUUUGCCGUCAGCUUUGCUACGGCUGUGGGCAAAGCCUGCCGUUAACCUUCUAACGGAGCUCGGCCUGCGCCAUUGCCGCCACUGCUCUUUGCCGUCAGCCCGUGCCACAAAGCUGAUGGCAAAGUCUUUGCCGUCGGUCGAGCUCUGGCUGUCGGCAAAGAAGGUGAUUGCCGAUAAAAUCUUGGCCGGUACCUUUGCCGACAGCACACUGACGACAAAGCCUUUACCAUCAGUUAAAUUGUCCUUUGCCGUCAGCUCUGGCUGUCGGCAAACCAGCAGAUUCCAGUAGUGAGGCUCGUCCAGCUACUGAAUGCUUUGCCUGAUCACCCUCUUGAGAAGAAUGAAAUACUUGAUAUCUUCUAUAAUGGACUUACCGAUGCUUCUAAAGACCACCUAGAUAGUUGUGUUGGUUGUGUGUUUAGGGAACGAACUGUAGAACAAGCUGAGAUACUAUUGAAUAACAUCUUGUGCAACGAGAAUGCUUGGACUAUUCCCGAACCACCUCCUAAGCCAACUCUUAAGAAGAGAGUUAUUCUAUUCCUCAGUCCCGAAGAUAUGCAGGAAGUUAAGAAAUCUAUGCGAGAGAAAGGCAUUAAAUCUGAAGAUGUCAAAAAUCUACCACCUAUCAAAGAGAUCCAUGGUCUUGAUAAGGCGAUACAGGUAGUAGAAGUAAAUUCUCUGCGUAGGUUUGAUGAGAGUGAUAUUCCUUUUGGUAAACCUGCUAGCUUAUGCCUGGAUGAAUUUGAUAACUUUGUUGCCAAACAACAGAGUUUCAAUGAUUAUGUUAGCAGACAAUUGGAAUAAAAUGCUCGUAUGCUUAGUCAUUUAAGUGCUUGUGUGGACAGAAAUGUCAAUGAUCUUAAGCUCUUGAGUAAACAUGCCUCUAUGGUUAGUACUCAGGUAGAACAAGUACUUAAAGCUCAGAAUGACUUGCUCAAUGAGUUGGAUGACAAUUCUGUUAGAGUCGUCAAUAGAGGCGGUAGAAUGACCCAGGAACCUCUGUAUCCUGAGGGUUAUCCUAAGAGAAUUAAACAAGAUUCUCAAGGAGUUAGCACUGAUGCACCUAGUCAUCCUAGGAAGAAGAAGAAAGAUGAUAGGAACUUGCACGCUAGCAACCCUGAUGCUGAUACACUUGGGAGUCCAAACGAUGUAUCUGCCUCUGAUGCUGAGACACAAUCUGGUGAUGAACAUGAGCCUAAUGAUAAUAUCAAUAGUGAUGUUCAUGAAGAUGCUCAACCUAGCAAUGAAAAGGAUGUAGAGAUUGAACCUGUUGAUCUUGAUAACCCACAACCUAAGAAUAGAAGAUAAGAUAAGAAUGACUUCGCUGCUAGGAAGCAUGGUAAAGAAAGGGAACCAUGGGUUCAGAAACCCAUGCCCUUUCCUCCCAAACCAUCCAAGAAAAAGGAUGACGAGGAUUUUGAGCGAUUCGUUGAAAUGAUUAGACCUGUCUUUUUGCAAAUGCGUUUGAAAGAUAUGCUCAAAAUGUCUCCGUAUGCUAAGUACAUGAAGGAUAUUGUGACUAAUAAGAGGAGGAUACCUGAGGUUGAGAUUUCCACCAUGCUUGCUAAUUAUACCUUCAAGGGUGGAACUCCUAAGAAACUAGGUGAUCCCGGUGUGCCCACUAUACCUUGCUGCAUUAAAGGUAACUACGUUAGAACUGCUUUAUGCGACCUUGGAGCCGGUGUUAGUGUUAUGCCUCUCUCUCUUUAUCGUAGGCUUGAACUGGAUAAGUUGAUACCCACUGAAAUCUUUUUGCAAAUAGCCAAGAAAUCAACUGCUUUCCCUAUCGGCAUUUGUGAGGAUGUUCCUGUUGUGGUUGCUAAUGUCACUAUCUUAACAGACUUUGUUAUCUUGGAUAUUCCCGAGGACGAUGCCAUGGCGGUCAUCCUCGGAAGACCCUUUUUAAACACUGCAGGGGCUGUUAUAGAUUGCAACAAAGGCAAUGUCACUUUCCAUGUCAACGGUAAUGAGCAUACAAUGCACUUUCCGAAGAAACAAUAUCGAGUACAUUGCAUCAAUGCUAUCGAAAAGACUUCAUCGAUUCUUAUUGGGAGCUUUGAAUGCCCUAUACCUCCUGUUAAGAUGAAGUAUGAUUUGAUUGUUGGGGAAAUACACAUCCCCAUUGAGGUGACCUAGUGACUAUUCGAAAAUUCUCCGUUCUCUUUUGUGAUUCGAAAAGGUUUGUCGAGGAGACUUGAUCAACCUCAUUGAUGGAUUUCUUUCGAUGACCAUGAGAUGGAUGAAUCGAGGAGUCACAAACCUCUGUUCCAAGCUUUCACCUUCGGUUGCUUAGAAGAAAAAUGAUAGAUUUAGUUUAAUUUUCCCUGUUUUCUGUUUUAGCGUCCCGGAGAAAAGUACCCCGAAAAUAAAAGUUCUCCGAACGUCCUAAAAAUCAAGAAUGAUUUUUUCUGGAAUUUUUGAAAAAUACUGAGACGAAGAGCUAGUCUGGGGGCUGCACCAGUGGGCCACAAGCCCUGGAGGCGCGGGCACCCCCCGGCCGCGCCUACUAGGCUUGUGGGGCCCACAUGCACCCCCUCCACUCAUUCUUGCUCUUAUAUGCUUCUCCUACCUCCAGAAAAAAUCGUUUCGCAGCUCAAACCCGUGUUCUUGCUCCUCUUGCUGGGAUUUUCGAUCUCUUUGCUCAAAGCACCAUUCUCCGAACUGUUUUGGGGAAAUUACUCCUUAGUAAGUGACUCCUCCAUUGGUCCAAUUAGUUUUUGCUCUAGUGCCUUAUACUUCGCGUAUUUUUUCUGCCUUGGUGACCAUGUUCUUGAGCUUUGCAUGCUAAUUCUAGCUGGUCCCAAGUGGUUUUGACGCGUAAUAUGGCCUCUAGGCACUUGUUGGAGUAGUUGCUACGAGUUUUGUUGAGCCUUGUUCACUUUUCCUUAGAAUCACUAAAAAUUUCAGAAAUUUUCAGAGAUAGAAAAGGGAAAAGAUGAGGAGGUUCUUAAGAGGCUCUUCAAGCCGUGAACCCAAGGAUGAUGGAAAUGAGAAGAAGCCCAAGUAUCCGGUCCCUCGAGUCGCAGAAGUUCGAGCAUGCGAGUGGCCAAGCGACGUGUUCUUACGCGCCGCCGGACUUUAUGAGGACUUUUACUGCUUGGUGGAGAACGCAGACCUUACCACCUUCGUUGAAGAUAAGUGUCCGCAAUACCUCCUCCUUACUAAUAUCUUCGUACAAAGCUUUAAGUUCUAUCCGAGGAAGAAUCCUCCUAUGGUCGAGUUCAAACUUUAUGAUAUCCCCCAACGCAUGUUACUCCAGGAUUUUUGCAAUGUUUGCAAAUUACCUUUCGUUGGGGAUAUUCAUGAACCUCGUCCACGGGAUUUGGAAUCUUUCAUUGAUACAAUUGCUGUAGGAGAGGAGAGAGGAGUGUCUUGUGCUAGAGCUGCUAGCAUUCAUUUUCCCGUGCUUCGGUACUUCUCAUUAUUUGUGGGAAAAUGUUUGAUUGGCCGUGGGAAAGCUGGGUCACUUAGUUCCCCAGAUCUUCCGGUCUUGCACGAAGCCCUUUAUAGUGAUAAAACUUAUAGCUUGGGCGCUAUAGUAGUUCAACGGUUGAACACGAACCGUUCUAAAGGCAUUGUCUAUGGAGGUAUCUAUGCUACUCGUCUUGCUAGACACUUUGAGAUACCUAUUAGACCGGAGGAGGAAGAAGAGAUUCUUCUUCCCGAGAGAUAUCUAGAUUACGAUAGCAUGGUUCGCCAUGACUUUCUUGAUAGAGAUAUAAAUAAAAGGAUGAUUUAUAACCUGGUCUUUAGUCAGGGUACUCGCGAGACUAUUACUUUGCCUGCUCCUUCUUUGUUCAAUCUUCAUGCAGGAAGGUACAUUAUUAUGCCCUUGGACAUCUACGCAUAUUGGGGCAUAGCCCAACCACAGGUGCCCAUGCCCGAGCCACCAGUCGAGUACUAGACGCCAGUUUAUCAGUGGGAGCCAGAGGAGCUCACACGGCAGUGGCAUCCUCAGUCCUCUCCGGAGUACCCCGGAGCUGGUUAUUUCCCUCCUUGGGAGUAGACCAACUUAGGCCAAAAUCCUAAGCUUGGGGAAGUACGUGUUUCUCACCGACUUUACAUUCUUGCUUAUGCUUUCACUUUGUUCGUCGGUGUUCACACUUUGCCACUGUAUCAUCCAUGCUAGUUUAUUUUCUUUUUCUCGUUUUCUUUUCGUGUGUCUGUCUAGUUUGAGAAAACCCAAAAAGAUUUUCUUGUUCUUCUUUUGCUUGUUGGGAGCUUUCCCAUGUAAUUAGUUUUCUUUUCUUUGGGUCAAGGUAGAAGACCAUGGUUACAAUGUUUAGUGGCUCUCGCAUGCAUAUCUGUUUAUCUGUCAAAGAGCCAUAUUACUCUGUCUUCUCCUUUGUGUUUGCCUGCAGAUUCCAGCUUUAGUCCAAUGCACGAGCACUCUUAUUAUUGUUCACAUCAUCCAGUCAUGCAAGUGAAAGGCAAUAAUGACGAUAUAUGAUGAAAUGACUGAGCCUGGAAAAGAUGGUAUGAACUCGAUCUGUUUUGUUUUUGUAAAUAUGACUAGCUCAUCGUUCCUGAUUCAGCUUUGUUGUGAGAGAAACAUGUUUGCAAUGACAACUUAGAGAUCAUAGUUUCUGAUGCCAUGCUUACUUAGCUAGGAGCUUAUAUGGUUUGUCUUGGAUGCCCACAUGAAUGUUGAGAUGGCUAUGAUGUAGUAUGAUAGGAUGGUAUCCUCCUUUGAAUGAUUCAAGUGGCUUGACUUGGUGCAUGUUUACACAUGUAGUUGAAACAAAAUCAACAUAGCCUCUAUGAUAUUCAUGUUCAUGGUGAUUUAUGUCCUACUCAUGCUUGCACUCAAUGUUAGUUAAUCUCAAUGCAUUUUGAUGACUGUUGUCGCUCUCUAGUUGGUCGCUUUCCAGUAUUUGGCUAGCCUUCACUUGUACUAAGCGGGAAUACUGCUUGUGCAUCCACUUCCAUAAACCCAAAGUUGUUCCAUAUGAGUCCACCAUACCUACCUAUAUGGGGUAUCUACCUGCCGUUCCAAGUAAAUUUGCAUGUGCCACUCUCUAAACCUUCAAGAAAUAAUCUGUUUUGCAUGCCCGAACCGCUCAUGUGGUGACAGGGGCUAUCAGUAUCUUCCAUGCUAGGCGUAUUAUCCUCGAUACGUGUUUAUUCACUAUCAUUCACGAGAAAGGGGUCGGUAAUUGGAAUGGCCAGUUCCAUGCUCAAAUCGAAAAGAUAGUUGCAAACAAAACUCCCCCUGGAUUGAUGUUGGUAUGGACGUCACCCGAGUAUUCGGCUAGUCGUGGAGUGUGAUUGAUUGGUGGUGGGGGAGUCAAAACUUUACUUUUCUGUUUGGGAACCGCCUAUAGCAUGUGUAGCGUGGAAGAUGGUGAGAACUCUUAGUCAUUGCGUUGACAAUGAAAGCAUGCCACCCAAAAUUAUUAUCUCUGUUUUCAAAAGCUUGAGCUCCGGCACCUCUGCAAAUCAAUGCUUCCCUCUGCGAAGGGCCUGCCUAUUUAUGUUCGUGUUGAGUCAUCCUCCUCUUAUAAAAGCACCACUUAGAGAGCACCUCUGUCAUUUUUAUGUUUUGCUUUUAACCGUGUCGAGUAUGACUGUGACUGGAUCUUCAUUGCCAUGAUUUACAAUUUUUAGUCAGCCCUUGGUCUUUGAAGGUGCUCUGCAUUCAUGUUUUGCGGUCUCAGAAAGAGCUAGCGAGAUACCAUCUGUUCGUACUGCUUCAUGAUUGCUUUGAUUGAAGUGUUGAUGUUUGAAACUUAUUAUUAUCUGCUCGCUACUUGAUUAUGCCAUUGAUAUGAGUUUACCAUGAGACCAAGAUGUCAUUUGCUUAUGUGGUUUGCUUGUGAUCUUGCUGAAAUUCUGGUUAUGAGUUAGACAUAGUUGCAACAACAAGAUCAAACAGAGUUUGUCAAAGUUUUUCUUUUGUCUCUUUUAGUUUGUCAACUCAAUUGCUUGAGGACAAGCAAGGCUUUAAGCUUGGGGGAGUUGAUACGUCUCCGUCGUAUCUACUUUUCCGAACUCUUUUGCCCUUGUUUUGGACUCUAAUUUGCAUCAUUUGAAUGGAACUAACCCGGACAAACGUUGUUUUCAGCAGAAUUGCCAUGGUGUUGUUUUUGCGCGGAAAUAAAAGUUCUCGGAAUGACCUGAAAAUUUACGGAGAAUUUUUAUGAAAUUAAUGAAAAAUACUGGCGCAAGAAUCAGCGAAGGAAGUGGAGCCAUGAGCCCACAAGCCCACCAGGCGCGGGCCCCCUUGGUCGCGCCUGGCAGGCUUGUGGGGCCCACAAAGCUCCACCGCCUCUAUUUAUCCUCUUUCAUCCGAAAAAAAAAUCAAGGAGAAGAGUUCAUCGCGUUUUACGAUACGGAGGCGCCGCCACCUCCUGUUCUUCAUCCGGAGGGCAGAUCUGGAGUCUGUUUUGGGCUCCGGAGAGGGGAGGUCAUCGCCAUCGUCAUCAUCAACCUUCCUUCAUCGCUAACUCCAUGAUGCUCUUCACCGUUCGUGAGUAAUCUCAUCGUAGGCUUGUUGGACGGUGAUGGGUUGGAUGAGAUCUAUCAUGUAAUCGAGUUAGUUUUGACGGGGAUUGAUCCCUAGUAUCCACUAUGUUCUGAGAUUGAUGUUGCUACUACUUUGCCAUGCUUAAUGCUUGCCACUAGGGCCCGAGUGCCAUGAUUUCAGAUCUGAACCUAUUAUGUUGUCGCCAAUAUAUGUGUGUUUUAGAUCCUAUCUUGCAAGUUGUAGUCACCUACUAUGUGUUAUGACCCGGCAACCCCGGAGUGACAAUAGCCGGAACCACUCCCGGAGAUGACCAUAGUAUGAGGAGUUCAUGUAUUCACCAAGUGUUAAUGCGUUGGUCCGGUUCUUUAUUAAAAGGAGAACCUUAAUAUCCCGUAGUUUCCAUUAGGACCCCGCUGCCACGGGAGGGAUGAACAAUAGAUGUCAUGCACGUUCUUUUCCCUAAGCACGUAUGACUACAUACUGAAUACAUGCCUACAUUAGAUUGACGAACGGGAGCUAGUUACAUAUCUCUCUGUGUUAUAACUGUUACAUGAUGAAUAGCAUCCGGCAUAAUCAUCCAUCACCGAUCCAAUGCCUACGAGGUUUUCCUACUGGUCCUUGCUACAUUACUUUGCCGCUACUGCUGUCACUGCUGUUGCUGUUACUCUUUUGCUACUGCUGUUACUUUGCUGCUACUGGUUACUGUUGCUACUGCUGCUAUCAUACUACCUUGCUACUGAUACUUUGCUGCAGACACUAAAUCUUUCAGGUGUGGUUGAAUUGACAACUCAACUGCUAAUACUUGAGAAUAUUUUUUCGCUUCCCCUUGAGUCGAAUCAAUAAAUUUGGGUUGAAUACUCUACCCUCGAAAACUGUUGUGAUCCCCUAUACUUGUGGGUUAUCAUGCAGCGUGCGUGGGUGUGUACCUCAUGUAUGUGUUUGAGUCGUAGAGAGAAAUAAAGCCAAGAUACAGGCAUUGGUGCGCCGCGGCGUUCGUCGCCGGAAAGAUCGUGGUAUCUCCUUCGUCUACCUUCGUCCGGCGUUUAGGUCGCCGGUGGGUUUGUCCAAACAGUUGGUAUCAUGAGCUUGGUUGGUUUGAGCGUGGUUCGGAGUGCCGGAGGCGUACCAUCGAUGGCGGCAUUCGUCGGCGACAACACGAAGCUUCGGGCCAUGUAUCGGCCUAUGGAGGUGCGCGGCGCUGCGGCUAUCGUGACGAACACGGAGGCGGCGCGCGGUGAGUCCGCAACGAGCGCUGCGAACAUGGAGGCCGAGGCGGCGCGGUUGCAGCACAUAGCGAGAGAAUGGAGACGGCGACGGGCUGCGAGUUCACAACGGUGGUAACCAGCGUAUGUGCGCGAGGUCGAGUCCGGCAUGGUGGUCAUCGGCAAGAGCGCGUCCAGGACAGAGGCGUGCGAGCGGCGGCCGGCGACGAGUGCAAGAUGGCGGUCGACAACAAGCUAUGUCAAGAUUAAAGGGGAAGUUGUUAGCCAUAAUCUUGACUUAGUAUGUGUUGUCCAGGUCGUGUGCCGUUGUGAAGAUCGAGCACGACCAAUGGAUGUGAUGCAUGCAGCAGGUGCAGGAGGAGGCACGAUGGCACCAGGUCUUGCGGAGGAGCGGGCUUCUCACGUUCGAGGGAAGACCGGAUCACCAGGUGAGCUCGUGGCUGUGUAUGGUUGUUGGCCGAAUGAUAGNNNNNNNNNNNNNNNNNNNNNNNNNNNNNNNNNNNNNNNNNNNNNNNNNNNNNNNNNNNNNNNNNNNNNNNNNNNNNNNNNNNNNNNNNNNNNNNNNNNNUUUUUUGAACUUAUUUGAACUCCAUACUUUUUGUGUGUUCAAAAUGCACCAUUCAAAGGCACAUCACAAAUUUUCAACAAUUUCUGACUUCAAUUGGUAUAUUUCGUGCAUUUACUUAUUGUUUUUUGAGCUAGUUGACCCUGAAAUUGAAAAGCACUACAAAUGAACUCUGAAAAUGUUGAAAGUUGGCAUGCUAUCAUCAUUUCACCCACAUAGCAUGUGUUAAAAAGUUGAGAGGGCUACGAAAAAAACUGGAUGCAGUUCGUGUACAAAACUGACAAUCUCUCUCGAAGUAGCAGCGUUUCGAACCAGAACUCAUCUCUUACAAAGGGAUUUCAUUUUUUUGAACUUAUUUGAACUCCAUACUUUUUGUGUGUUCAAAAUGCACCAUUCAAAGGCACAUCACAAAAUUUCAACAAUUUCUGACUUCAUUUGGUAUAUUUCGUGCAUUUACUUUUUUAUUUUUGAGCUAGUUGACCGUGAAAUUGAAAAGCACUAUAUAUGGUGGACACUAGCUCACCUGAUUUUUCAACCGUCGAUGAUGGUCGCUACUCCGACUUCCCCUAGUGCAUAACCAAUAUCUAGCACAAGGAGAAGAAGGAGAAGCGACCCCCACAACAAAAGUGGUUCCGCGGCACGCCACAUGGUUCCGUUGCACGCCACGUGGGACUAAUGAUCUUUCAUUUUUAAAUGAUUGUUUNGUUACAAAAGGGAUUUCAUUUUUUGAACUUAUUUGAACUGAAGACUUUUUGUAUAUAUAUGUGGUCGAAAUGCAUGAUACCAUGAAGUUAGAAAGGGCUAAGCCAUUCAAAAGUAGCAAAUGAAGUUAGAAAGGGCUAAACCAUUCAAAUUUGGAAACUAUAAUGGCACAAACAGAAACUAGACAUAUAUAAAUUGGUCCAAGAAGUACAUGAUACUAGUCCAAACAGUACAUAAUAAUAGCUACAAUAGAUAUAUAUAAAAGUGUUCGAUGUUAAGAACACUACUCGUCUGAAUCAUCUGAAUCAGAAUGUCCACCUUCCUCGAGGUGACGCUGGCCAUAGUGGACGACUCGAAUCUUGCGGUACAACUCAUAUGAAACAUAUGCAUCUUUUGCUGCAUACUCAAUGUUGAUAUCAUCAAGUGGGACCUUCUCCCAAAGUCUGUGCUAAGACUUUGGGAAACUGGUCUUCAUAUCAGUAUAUGAAUCGUCGAUCAAGACAACUGCCAUAUGAGCCAUCGAAGUCCUGUCAUGUCGAAGCCUGAAUAUCGUUUGGAGAUCAACGAGGCAACCAGCUGGUAUCUCAAUACCGAAGCUGUGCCUCAUCUUCAGCUUGUCGUUCCUUAUGUCAACGGAAGCAAAAGUGAUGCCGCUGCGAAGGAAGUUCAUGAGUUCUGGACAAUGUUUGUCACUCCUGCAACAGAAACAAAUUAAAAUGGAACAAAUGUUACAUACUGCUGCAAUAAGNNNNNNNNNNNNNNNNNNNNNNNNNNNNNNNNNNNNNNNNNNNNNNNNNNNNNNNNNNNNNNNNNNNNNNNNNNNNNNNNNNNNNNNNNNNNNNNNNNNNGCUCCUUUGUGUGUGAAUGUGUAUUUUUUUUUUGCUGCUGAUCAAUGUUAAAUAGGCUACGGUCAUAAAAAUUUAUAGACAGUUAAGCCAUUUGCAUUAAUGCAUUGCUGGUUAGAUCUCUUUUUUUUUGCAGAACGGGGGCAUUUCUUACGGCACUGGGGUUGCAAGGGGGUGAAGCUAGAGCAAAGGGACGGGUUGUGAACUAAACUAGUGGCAGGGACGGCCCAGGCGCGUCUCUUGGGGCAGGAUUGGGCGCACUAAUCUAGCUAAUGUAUUUUAGUGAAAGAGAGGCAGUCUAGAGAGUGAUAGUGGUUAAAAAAAUAUAACAAAUGCAUUGUUAGUCUUAACCUUGUAUUAUACAGAAUACACAGAAGUCAGAAAUUGUGCUUUUUACAUAGCCAAAAUAAGCGUACACUAAAGUUACAUGGGACUGAAAUAAGCUUACUCGCAAGAUAUUUGGAAAAUCUGUUUGACAACAAUCCUAAGUUGUGUUUGACAACACUAUCUGGAUGUUGUAAUUUUGACCAAUGCACAUAAAAUAAUUUGACAUGUGUAUCACUGCAUCUCCCUCUUGGUAUGCAAGAAAACAAAGAGCAGAAAAUAAUUUGGCAUCCACCUUCUGCUUCGUUGAUGGCAAUGUUUCAUCCUUCACAAUGAUGGUGAGCAGAAUCUAAUGACACUCUUCUACACACACAAAGUCGCUAGCUGCGGCUCCAGCGCAUACACGCUUACCUUGACCAUGACCUCCAUGGCGUCGAAGAUGAACCAAACCAACCACCGCUCUUCUGCACGGCCGUGUCCCUGUCUCCUCUUCUGGCUACCCCCGCUGUGCUUCUAGGAGAGUCAUCUAAAGUGUACGCAGAGCAGAAAAUUACUUCUCGAGACAAACACUUCAUUUCUAAAAUGCAACAAGCAAGCAUAUUGAAAAACUAAUACAAGAAACAUUUUCAGUACCCAAUAACAUGAUUAAUUAACUCAAUGUUGAGUUCUUUCAAUCUUAUGAAAUCAUAAGAACACAAUAAAUAUACCAGGUGAAUAGGCUCUAUGGUUACAUAGAGCCACAUAUGUGUUUGUGCGUACUAAUCUUCCUCGGGCAAUUGUUAAUGUGCGUAUGCAGUCCAAAUGAGCGUCAUUUAAAAAAAGAAUACAGGCAAUAGAACUGCAGCACAAGAGCAUUCAAUCAUAAAGCUGAAGAGGCAGAGCUAGCUAAUAGGUCUAUAUUAACAGAGAGGUGACAGUCUUACUGAGCAAUGUAAUGUAGUAGCAGUUACAGGAUCAGUAAAAAUUCUUACUGGUAAUGUACAUUCCAUAGACAUUAUUACACAGAAGUGAUUUCAAGAGGAAAAUCCACACAUCAUUUGUGUUAUGUAGGAAUCUCCAGUUCUACUACUAAAUCUAAGCACCCAAGAAUAUACAUGGUACAAAAUGGUGCUAUAUUUAAACUAUUUUUGUGGAAUAUGAACCCCCAAAUAGACGGGAUCGACAAGGCAGAGUAUGCACGGACUUCUACUCGCACGGAAACAUAGGGUUGUAAAUGCUCAAUAACCCACACGAAGCCCGACACAUCGAAAAGAUGGUGAGCAAUGAUCAGACAAGUGCAGUGAUCGGAUGGAGAGAGGAGAGUUUAAACAGAUCCAUAAUUUCUAUUCACGUGAGUAUAUAUGGCUCUCUUUCUUUCUAUACUUAAAAAUUACAAUAGUUCAUAAGAAUGUGUAGAAACUUAUCUUCAUAUAACAAAUAGAUUAGGCAAAAGUGAACACUAACUUCAACUACAUGGAAUUAUAGCUAAGAUAAUGCAUAUCAGCGUAUUGUCUCUACUUCUUUUGGGGAAUCUCUAAUGUGCAAAUAAAUGGAAUCAGUAUGCAUAGAAGUAAUAUCUUUAUUUCAAGAGUAAAAUAGUUUAUUCCUCCUAAUCUUCCUAUCUUGAACUCUACAAAGAGAUACCAUCCAUGCUGCCUCUCGGUCCGCUGUAAGGAAUCAAUUAACUGAACACAUUAGGGAUGAAAUGCUAGCUCAUAUCUGCUUGAGGUAUAAGAUAGAAGGUCUCAAAGACUGAAACAGAAGGAAACAUUGGAUAGUAUGUCCAAGGCAAUUCGUUUAAUCAUAGCUUGCCAUUUAUUCGCCGUUGUCCUAGGAAAAUCUAUCUUUUCAAUGGUGUUUCCUUACUUGCAGGCUCCAAUUGGCAUGAAUAAAAAUAGUUACUUAUUGUAGAGCAACUGUAAAAUAGUGCAAACUGAAUAUCAUCAACGGCUGGAAGGUAAUACGUUAUAGUCUACAUAGGUUACCACAACGGAAGCAGAGUACUACCCACCAAGAGAAACUUUACUCCAGAAUGAAACACCUAGAGAUGUCUACAUGUUAGUUUCAGGAGCAGUGGUUAGUCCAACUAUAAAUUUGAUGAUUGUCAAGGUACCUACAGAUGUUUACAUAUUAAUUAUGAUUAUCCCUGUGAGUGAAUGAAGUUUAAUUAUGACUUUGUAUGAAUGAAGCCCAUGAUUCACAUCUCAGCAAUGGCCCUAGACCUAGUUUAUGCAGCGAUUGCAAGAACAUCAAGGUGAGAAUGGCCAUGAGAAAAGGAAAGAAGGGGAGGAAAAAACAGUGUAUACUUGAUGAGCGUCCCUCCUUUGCUGAUGAGCGCGCCGCAGCAGGUGUCGGGCACCACCCUAACGUCAUAAUCGAUCAACGGGUAGAGGAUCUUCUAGGAAGUUAAGUGAACACACACAUUUUCUAGGAAGUUUAUCGGUGUUAUUGGAUCAGAUCUUAUAAUUACAUAACAACUCUUACUAAGCAAGUCGCAGCUCGAACCAUACACACUAGUGGAAAACGGGCCUUUGGCCUGGACCAUUUAGUCCCGGCCUGCCUCUGGGCCGGGACUAAAGGCCCGGCCACGUCGCCCCAAUUCUCAAUGCCUCCCUCGAGGCUUUAGUCCCGGCCCGUAAGGAGCCUUUUGUCCCGGUUUGUGUCGCAAACCGGGACUAAAGGGCUACGCGGCGGGCAGUGGUGGUGGCAACCGUUCGUAUCCCCCUUUAGUCCCGGUUGGUGGGUCAAGCCGGGACUAAAGGACUAACACGUGGCCUGCCGUAGUGGUGGCGACCGNCCGUUCGUAUCCCCCUUUAGUCCCGGUUGGUGGGUCAAGCCGGGACUAAAGGACUAACACGUGGCCUGCCGUAGUGGUGGCGACCGUUGGUAUACCUCUUUAGUCCCGGUUGGGUGGCUCAACCGGGACUAAAGGCCUAACACGUGGCCUGCCGUAGUGGUGGCAACCGUUUGGUAUCCCCCUUUAGUCCUGGUUGGUGGCUCAACCCGGGACUAGAGGCCCAAACGGUUUGCAUCCCGCGUCGUUUAGGGCGAUGAAAAGCACGAACCGAAGCGUACAGUCGCCAUUUCUCUGUUCUUCUUCUCUCUCGCGUCGCCCUCUCUGUUCUUCUUCUCUCUCGCGUCGCCCUCUCUGUUCUUCUCCUCUGUUCUUCUCCUCUGUUCUUCCACCAUGCCAACUAGCUUUCGUAAGGUGCUCGCACAUGGCACGACGAUGCUCGAUGUCGUGUACACGAACCUGAGCAACGAGGUGCCGUUUUUUCUUCAACAGUUGAAGGAAAAAUGGUUUGACCACGCAGCGGAUCAUGAGAAGUUCUUGGGGCUUGAUCUGGAGUACACGGCCGAUCAACGCGGUGUUGCCGUCAUCCAGCUAUGCUUCCAACGCCAUGUCUUGAUCUUCCAAUGGGCGAAGUAAGUUUUGAGGCUUUCUUUGAUUCAAGAUAAUGACACUGUAAGUUUAUUUGUUUCAAUCAUAGUUGGUUCCCUUCAAAUAGUUGUAGUGAAACAAUUUUGAUUAGUUGAAGGGGAGCACAAUCUAAUUGGAAUAGUGUUCCAUAAUCUGAAAAAUCGUAUUAGAAUCAACUAGUGUUUAAUAUGUUCCAUUGGAAUCAUAGUUGGUUCCCUUCNNNNNNNNNNNNNNNNNNNNNNNNNNNNNNNNNNNNNNNNNNNNNNNNNNNNNNNNNNNNNNNNNNNNNNNNNNNNNNNNNNNNNNNNNNNNNNNNNNNNUCCUUGGACGUUGGAGCGAAUCAAGGAGAGGUUAGUUGCUUAGUGGCCGGGUCAUGUGGUAGUGGCCGUAUGUGGUGGUCAUGCGUUGUGGCUAGCUACUUAGUCUCGUUAGUGGGGUGUGUGUGGCCGCUGGCCUGUUUGUGCAACCGGCUAUAAAAGCCCCGCGUGUACUGUUUGUAGAAGGUGCCGGUGUGUGUAGCCGUGCUCCGGUGUGUUGCCGAGCGACGGGGUGUGCCGAGCCAAGUGUGAGGGGCCUAGAAGAUGUAGUCUUCGUCGGGACCGUGAUGUGUGUCCGGUAAACGUGAGAGUUCUUCCGGGUUGUGCAGCGUGCGUGCGUGUGUACCUCAUGUAUGUGUUUGAGUCGUAGAGAGAAAUAAAGCCANGUGAGAGUUUUUUCGGGUUGUGCAACGUGCGUGCGUGUGUACCUCAUGUAUGUGUUUGAGUCGUAGAGAGAAAUAAAGCCAAGAUACAUGCGUUAGUCCGCUGCGGCAUUCGUCCCUGGAAAGAUCGUGGUAUCUCCUUUAUCUACCUUCGUCCGGCGUUUAGGUCGUCGGUAGGUUUGUCCUAACAGUUGGUAUCAUGAGCUUGGUUGGUUUGAGCGUGGUACGGAGUGCCGGAGGCGUACCAGCGAUGGCGGCAUUCGUUAGCAACAACGCGAAGCUUCGGGCCGUGUGUCGAUCUAUGGAAGUGCGCGGCGCUGCGGUUGUCGUGACGAACACGGAGGCGGCACGCGGUGAGUCCGCAAUGAGCACUGCGAACAUGUAGGCCGAGGCGGCGCGGUUGCAGCACAUAGCGAGAGCACACGACGACGGGCUGCGAGUCCACAACGGUGGUAACCGGCGUAUGUGCGCCAGGUCGAGUUCGGCAUCAUGUUGAUCGGCAAGAGCGCGUCCAGGACAGAGGCGUGCGAGCAGCGGCCGGCGACGAGUGCAAGAUGGCGAUCGACAACAAGCUAUGUCAAGAUUAAAGGGGAAAUUGUUAGCCAUAAUCCUGACUUAGUAUGUGUUGUCAAGGUCGCUUGCCGUUGUGAAGAUCCAGCACGACCAAUGGACGUGAUGCAUGCAACAGGUGCAGGAGGAGGCACGAUGGCACCAGGUCUUGCGGAGGAGUGGGCUCCUCACGUUCGAGGGAAGACCGGAUCACCAGGUGAGCUCGUGCCUGCGUAUGGUUGUUGGCCGAAUGAUAGNGGGCUCCUCACGUUCGAGGGAAGACCGGAUCACCAGGUGAGCUCGUGCCUGCGUAUGGUUGUUGGCCGAAUGAUAGGCCUAGUCCUUGGAUGUUGGAGCGAAUCAAGGAGAGGUUAGUUGCUUAGUGGCCGGGUCAUGUGGUAGUGGCCGUACGUGAUGGUCAUGCAUUGUGGCUAGCUACUUAGUCUCGUUAGUGGGGUGUGUGUGGCCGGUGGCCUGUNNNNNNNNNNNNNNNNNNNNNNNNNNNNNNNNNNNNNNNNNNNNNNNNNNNNNNNNNNNNNNNNNNNNNNNNNNNNNNNNNNNNNNNNNNNNNNNNNNNNCUUUAGCAAAGCCAGCUGGAAUCUCACGGCCAUGCCAGCGUGCAUCAGGGCCAGAAGGUAAAGCUUGUCCAACAGCCACCUUCAUGGAUAUGUUCGUGAAUUUCUGAUGGAGUUCACAUGAUGUUGACUCCUUGAUUCCAUCCAGGGGGUAGCCGGGACCGCCCUGUAUUAUUCUUCGUUCAUCGCCGGGCGGGGCCUCAGAUUCAGCCACGCUGCUUUUCCGCUUAGAUGGGGCGCCGGUAAUAUCAAGUGCAGGAUCUUCCUGGCGCGGUACUCCUCUAAGCUCAUCAAUCUGCUUCUGUUGCUCGUUAAUCCUGGCAAGCAACUGGUUGAAAUUGUCAUUCUUCUCAUCCUGCUGCCGCUUCUUUGCUCUCUCUCGGCUUCUGUAAGUGUCUUGGUCUCUGGCAAACCCAAGCCACCACGAGUAAGAUGGACCGAAGCCUCGCGUUCGUCCUCCAUGUUCGUCAUUGCCGAGGACCAAUGUGAGCAAAUCUUUAUCUCUAUCUGCAGUGAACUUUCUUUGUCCCUCCUUAAUUUCUUUCACUAUCCUUUUCCAAUUCUCCCUGGGUAUCCUAAGAUUGUCAUUGCAGAUGAGGUCCCCUGUUUUUUCGUCGUACGACCCACCAUGCGCAAGGAACCAAUAUCUUGCUCUCAAUUCCCACUCAUCACGGAGUGGUUCAGGUACGAUGCCUUUAUCUAUCAGAUCUUGCUCUUUCUUUUCCCACUUUGGGAUGGCAGUCUCAUAGCCCCCUGGCCCCAGCUUGUGGUGAUAUUUCUUCUUAUCUGCAUUUAUCUUGUUUUUUUCUGAUAAUGCCUGGGCAUCUUCUGACUCCUUGUACUCUUGAAAUUCCUUCCAGUGAUUCGCCUGCUUGGCUAGAUACCCCUCGAAUACUGGCACUUUCUUGGUCUCCAGAUAGUUUUUCCAUAGCUUCUUCUUCCAGCUACGGAACAGUUCGGCCAUCUUCUUUAGAGUCCACUGCUUGACUUUGGCCCUCAAUUUGUCUGCGGCGUCUUCAUUCUCACAUUCUGGCAGGUUGAAAUGUGACAUGAGAUCAUUCCAAAGAUUAUCUUUGUACCUUUCGGCGACAUAGUCACUAUCGGCUGCCCCUUUGCGCUUGUUCCACUCCCGAACGCUGAUCGGGACGUGAUCCCUAACGAGAACUCCGCAUUGCUUCUUGAAUGUGUCAGCAGCAUUCUUAGGAAGCUUGGGUUCGCCCGUAGGCAUUAUCACCUCAAAGGUGUAAUGCGUCCGUGCAUCCAACUUUCUAGUCGGGCCUCGUUUCGUAGAUUUGCUCGAUGUGGAGGCCUAAGAGGGAGAAACAUUCAUCAAAUGAAUGUAUAUGUAUACAAUAUAGAGCUAUCUCCAAUAUUUUUCACAUAUUACAAGUGAUUGUCGAACUUUAUAUGUAUACCUCGCCGGACAUUAUUAUUUCUUCACCGGCUUCUCCACCGGCUUCUCCAUCAGUGGAGCUAUCAUCACCUUCUCCGUCAUUGGACCUAUCUCCUGCCCCAUCGGCUUCAUCUUCGUGUCGCUCGACCUCCAUUCCAUAUCCAGAGUCGUUUAGAUAUGACGUCGGAGAUUCGGCUGGUUCACGUCGGGGCCGUCUUUGAUUAUAUCUUCGAGAAGUUCUUCCUCUUCAAGGUUCCUGAUAUGUGGAUCCAUAGUUCUGCAAAAAACGGACAUUUGAUUAACUAAUAAACUAACAAACUAUAUAAGAGGGGUUGGAAACUUCGAAGGCUCGUUUUAUAUAGGAGGACCUUUAGUCCCGGGUCUUGGCUAGAACCUAAACUCUAAAAUACCAGCCUGGCGGAGCCUAGUCCCGGACACUUAAGCAUAUACAAUAGCAAAAUUAAACUAGUUCCAGCAUAUACAAAAGAAAAAUUAAACUAUUAACACUUAAGCAUAUACAAUAGCAAAAUUAUAUUUCUACUUCUACUUCUCCUAUUCUUCUACUUCUACUUCUACUUCUCCUAUUCUUCUACUACUUCGUCUCCUCUCCUCUUCUUCUAUUUUUCCUCUUCUUCUCCUCUCCUCCUCUUCUUAUUCUCCUUUUUCUUCUUUUCUUCUCCUCCUUUUCUUAUUCUCCUUUUUCUUCCUUUCUUCUCCUUUUUCUUUCUUNNNNNNNNNNNNNNNNNNNNNNNNNNNNNNNNNNNNNNNNNNNNNNNNNNNNNNNNNNNNNNNNNNNNNNNNNNNNNNNNNNNNNNNNNNNNNNNNNNNNGUACUUCUGUCGUCCGUCAUUAACAUUGUCCAUAAAAUUAAUGAAAAUUACCCACAAUUGCCACUUAUAAGUCAUAGAAAACGUUUCAAACAGGAAAAUCUCCUGACUGGGCUGGCCCAUGUAGGCACCUCCUAUAUUACGCUCUGGAUAUUGGAAAAAGAUGCAGCACCUAUUUGGACCCGCCCAUGCGUGGCCGCCUGUUCUUUUAGUUUAGGUUUUUAUUUUACUUUUCAGUUCCAUUUUUUUCUACUUUAAAUAAUUUAGAACUUCAAAUAACUUUUCUUAAAUUUAAGAAAUUGAGAAUUUUGAAAUAAAAUANAAUAAUUUUAAAAAAAAGUCCGUGUAAAAAUCUUAAAAACAGUUCGUGCCUCUGCUUUUAGUCUCAUUUUUUAUUUUCAUUUUCUAAAAUUUAAAUAAUAUAGACUUUUGAAAAACUUUUGCAACUUAUAAAACUGAGAAUUUUGAAGAAAACAUAAAAUGUUGGAUAGUAAAUCCAUCCGUCAUCACCAACGAUUUUGAACUCAACUAACGGUUUUGCACGAUCGCUAUCAUGGAAAGAAGUGUUCAACAGGAAAGAAAUUCAGACAUGACAUGGCAGCAGCAUUUCUACUUGGAUUUGAGAAUCACAACAUGUAUCUGUCCAUUCCAUUCAGAAUGUUGAAUGUUGGAUUUGAGCAUAUUUCGAAUGUUGGAUUUGAGCCAACAUUCAACAUUCAACAUGUAUGUAUGGAUUUCUUCGUCUUCUUCUNNNNNNNNNNNNNNNNNNNNNNNNNNNNNNNNNNNNNNNNNNNNNNNNNNNNNNNNNNNNNNNNNNNNNNNNNNNNNNNNNNNNNNNNNNNNNNNNNNNNAAUACCCUAAUGUGAACUUCACUUAAUGUGUAGUAUUCGAUUGUUGUGAUUGCCAUGCCUUGCAUAUUUGAUCCGGACAUGCAUCAUAUGUGUUUGUGCAUCAUGCCUUGCAUAUGUGGUGUUGUUUAUCUUGUGUUGAUUGUUUGUUUCCGGAUUGUUUCUUCUCGAUGGAGUUUUGAAACCGCUUUGGAGUGAGAGGAUUCGGUCGACUACGUUGGUUCGUCUACUUCAUGGAUUCGUUUUUCUUCCAAGUGGGAUCUCAAGCAAGAUGAUGAUUUUCCUAGAUACCACUACUAUCAUUGCUAUGCUAGUUCUCUCGUUUCUAUUACUAUGUACCGCUGCCUACCACCUGUUAAUGUCAGCCUCCCAACAUUGCCAUGAAAAGCCUCUAACUCCUUCUAGAUCCCAGCAAACCUUUGUUUGGCUAUGUUACCGCUUGUUGAGCCUUCUUAUAAUGUUGCUAGUUGUAGGUGCAGAUGCUUCCAUGUGAAAACAUGGGUUCCUUGAUAUAUCAUCAUAUUAUUCCUAAUUAAUUUAAUGCACCUAUAUACUUGGUAAGAGGUGGAAGGCUUGGCCUUCUAGCUUGGUGUUUUGUUCCACCUUUGCUGCCCUAGUUACUUGUGUACCAGUGUCAUGUUCCAUAUUGAGCGCUCCUAACAUGCUUUGGGUUGUUAUCGGGACCCCCUUGAUUUUCUAUUUGGGAUAAAACUCUUCUGGCAAGGACCAACAUUGGUUUUACAUCUGCCUAAUAACUAAUAAAAAGCAUAGGGACCUGCCGGCACCCGCGAAUAAUUAAUCAACCCCGGGUCAGUGCUCCUCAUGAGUGUUGGUCCAAAUCGGGUGAUGUCCAGCGGCCCAUGGUCACCCGGGAUUUCAGCCAACUCGAUGUCUUGCCCAUCUGGUAGUGCCCUGAGAAAGAGAUACACACGUCUCCUAUUGGGAUCUGGCCUGCCGGGCGGCCUUGCUGGAUUUAUUUUACCUUUCUCGAAUGUCUUGUGCGUGGGAUUCCGAGGAUACUUUGGGCUAUCUCGAGGUUUAGUUUUUUCAUCGGAAUUGUCGAGGAGACUACGGGUUUUACUUGGUUGAGGUUAUUCCAUGCAGCUUGUGGUGGUUUGAGAUGGACUAGUUGGAGCACCUUUGUAGGGUUAAAUCUUUCUGAGAGCCGCGCCUGCGGUUAUGUGGCAGCUUGAAAACUUUGUUUAACACUCGGUCAUAGCAAACUUGAAGUAAACUUAAUUAAAAUAUGCCAACUGUGUUCCCAACCGUGACUAUUUCUUCUCGUGAGUUCUUAUCCAAGAGAGGAAACGAUGUGGUUAUGUCUGAUUCUUAAGUAGGUAUUCGGGAUCAUUCCUUGAUAAUUAUUAGCUCACGGUCAUUUAUUCAUAGAUCACCCCCCUCUUAUUAUUGUACUCAUAAGUUAGCCUCCCAAAUAAAAUGCUUAGUGUGUUGGGGAACGUCGCAUGGGAAACAAAAAUUUUCCUACGCGCACGAAAACCUAUCAUGGUGAUGUCCAUCUACGAGAGGGGAUAUUCGAUCUACGUACCCUUGUAGAUCGCACGGCAGAAGCGUUAGUGAACGCGAUUGAUGUAGUGGAACGUCCUCACGUCCCUCGAUCCGCCCCGCGAACCGUCCCGCGAUCAGUCCCACGAUCUAGUGCCGAACGGACGGCACCUCCGCGUUCAGCACACGUACAGCUCGACGAUGAUCCCGACCUUCUUGAUCCAGCAAGAGAGACGGAGAGGUAGAUGAGUUCUCCGGCAGCGUGACGGUGCUCCGGAGAUUGGUGGUGAUCUAAUCUCAGCAGGGCUCCGCCUGAGCUCCGCAGAAACGCGAUCUAGAGGUAAAACCGUGGAGAUAUGUGGUCGGGCUGCCGUGGCAAAGUUGUCUCAAAUCAGCCCUAAAACCUUCGUAUAUAUAGGGGGAAGAGGGGGAGCCUUGCCUUGGGGUCCAAGGACCCUCAAGGGGUUCGGCCGAGCCAAGGGGGGGAGUCCCCCCUUCCAAACCGAAUCCAACUAGGUUUGGAAGGAGGAGUCCUUCCCCUUUUUCCCACCUCCUUUUUUUUCUUUUCUCUUUGAUUUUCUUCCUAUGGCGCAUAGGGCCUUCUUGGGCUGUCCCACCAGCCCACUAAGGGCUGGUGCACCACCCCCAAGGCCUAUGGGCUUCCCCGGGGUGGGUUGCCCCCCCCCCCCGGUGAACACCCGGAACCCAUUCGUCAUUCCCGGUACAUUCCCGGUAACUCUGAAAACCUUCCGGUAAUCAAAUGAGGUCAUCCUAUAUAUCAAUCUUCGUUUCCAGGCCAUUCCGGAAACCCUCGUGACGUCCGUGAUCUCAUCCGGGACUCCGAACAACAUUCGGUAACCAACCAUAUAACUCAAAUACGCAUAAAACAACGUCGAACCUUAAGUGUGCAGACCAUGCGCGUUCGAGAACUAUGUAGACAUGACCCGAGUGACUCCUCGGUCAAUAUCCAAUAGCGGGACCUGGAUGUCCAUAUUGGAUCCCACAUAUUCUACGAAGAUCUUAUCGUUUGAACCUCAGUGCCAAGGAUUCAUAUAAUCCCGUAUGUCAUUCCCUUUGUCCUUCGGUAUGUUACUUGCCCGAGAUUCGAUCGUCAGUAUCCGCAUACCUAUUUCAAUCUCGUUUACCGGCAAGUCUCUUUACUCGUUCCGUAAUACAAGAUCCCGCAACUUACACUAAGUCACAUUGCUUGCAAGGCUUGUGUGUGAUGUUGUAUUACCGAGUGGGCCCCGAGAUACCUCUCCGUCACACGGAGCGACAAAUCCUAGUCUCGAUCCAUACUAACUCAACGAACACCUUCGGAGAUACCUGUAGAGCAUCUUUAUAGUCACCCAGUUACGUUGCGACGUUUGAUACACACAAAGCAUUCCUCCGGUGUCAGUGAGUUAUAUGAUCUCAUGGUCAUAGGAAUAAAUACUUGACACGCAGAAAACAGUAGCAACAAAAUGACACGAUCAACAUGCUACGUCUAUUAGUUUGGGUCUAGUCCAUCACGUGAUUCUCCUAAUGACGUGAUCCAGUUAUCAAGCAACAACACCUUGUUCAUAAUCAGAAGACACUGACUAUCUUUGAUCAACUGGCUAGCCAACUAGAGGCUUGCUAGGGACGGUGUUUUGUCUAUGUAUCCACACAUGUAAAUGAGUCUUCAUUCAAUACAAUUAUAGCAUGGAUAAUAAACGAUUAUCUUGAUACAGGAAUUAUAAUAAUAACUAUAUUUAUUAUUGCCUCUAGGGCAUAAUUCCAACAGUCUCCCACUUGCACUAGAGUCAAUAAUCUAGCCCUCACAUCACCAUGUGAAUUACAUUGUAAUAAAUCUAACACCCAUACAGUUCUGGUGUUGAUCAUGCUUUGCCCGUGGAAGAGGUUUAGUCAGCGGGUCUGCUACAUUCAGAUCCGUGUGCACUUUGCAUAUAUUCACGUCCUCUCCCUCGACGUAGUCGCGGAUGAGGUUGAAGCGUCGUUUGAUGUGUCUGGUCUUCUUGUGAAACCGUGGUUCCUUUGCUAAGGCAAUGGCACCAGUGUUGUCACAGAACAAGGUUAUUGGAUUCAGUGCGCUUGGCACUACUCCAAGAUCCGUCAUGAACUGCUUCAUCCAGACACCCUCCUUAGCCGCCUCCGAGGCAGCCAUGUACUCUGCUUCACAUGUAGAAUCUGCUACGACGCUUUGCUUGGAACUGCACCAGCUUACUGCACCCCCAUUAAGAAUAAAUACGUAUCCGGUUUGUGACUUAGAGUCGUCCGGAUCUGUGUCAAAGCUUGCAUCGACGUAACCUUUUACGGCGAGCUCUUCGUCACCUCCAUACAUGAGAAACAUCUCCUUAGUCCUUUUCAGGUACUUCAGGAUAUUCUUGACCGCUGUCCAGUGAUCCACUCCUGGAUUACUCUGGAACCUACCUGCCAUACUUAUGGCCAGGCUAACAUCCGGUCUAGUGCACAACAUCGCAUACAUGAUAGAACCUAUGGCUGAAGCAUAGGGGACGGAGCGCAUAUGCUCUCUAUCUUCAUCAGUUGCUGGGCACUGAGUCUUACUCAAUCUCGUACCUUGUAGAACUGGCAAGAACCCUUUCUUGGACUGUUCCAUUUUGAACCUCUUCAAAACUUUAUCAAGGUAUGUGCUUUGUGAAAGUCCUAUCAGGCGUUUUGAUCUAUCCCUAUAGAUCUUAAUGCCUAGAAUGUAAGCAGCUUCUCCUAGGUCCUUCAUAGAGAAACUUUUAUUCAAGUAAUCCUUUAUGCUUUCUAAAAACUCUACGUUGUUUCCAAUCAGUAAUAUGUCAUUCACAUAUAAUAUUAUAAACGCCACAGAGCUCCCACUCACUUUCUUGUAAAUACAAGAUUCUCCAACCACUUGUAUAAACCCAAAUGCUUUGAUCACCUCAUCAAAGCGUUUGUUCCAACUCCGAGAUGCUUGCACCAGUCCAUAAAUGGAUCGCUGGAGCUUGCACACCUUGUUAGCAUUCUUAGGAUCGACAAAACCUUCGGGUUGUAUCAUAUACAAUUCUUCCUUAAGGAAACCGUUAAGGAACGCCGUUUUGACAUCCAUCUGCCAGAUUUCAUAAUCGAAAAAUGCAGCUAUUGCUAACAUGAUUCUGACGGACUUAAGCAUCGCUAUGGGUGAGAAUGUCUCAUCGUAGUCAACUCCUUGAACUUGUGAAAAACCCUUUGCCACAAGUCGAGCUUUAUAAACGGUCACAUUACCGUCAGAGUCCGUCUUCCUCUUAAAGAUCCAUUUGUUCUGAAUGGCCUUGUUGCCCUCAGGCAGUACCUCCAAAGUCCACACUUUGUUCUCAUACAUGGAUCCUAUCUCGGACUUCAUGGCUUCCAGCCAUUUGUUGGAAUCUGGGCCCACCAUUGCUUCUUCAUAAUUCGCAGGUUCAUUGUUGUCUAACAACAUGAUUGACAAGACGGGAUUACCGUACCACUCUGGAGCAGCACGUGGUCUCGUCGACCUGUGUGGUUCGACAGAAACUUGAACUGGAGUUUCAUGAUCAUCAUCAUUAACUUCCUCCUCAACCGGCGUCGCAAUGACAGAGGUUUCCCCUUGCCCUGCGCCACCAUCCAGAGGGAUGAGAGGUUCGACAACCUCGUCAAGUUCUAUCUUCCUCCCACUCAAUUCUCUCGAGAGAAACUCCUUCUCGAGAAAAGCUCCGUUUUUAGCAACAAACACUUUGCCCUCGGAUUUGAGAUAGAAGGUGUACCCAACUGUCUCUUUUGGGUAACCUAUGAAGACGCACUUUUCCGCUUUGGGUUCCAGCUUUUCAGGCUGAAGCUUUUUGACAUAAGCAUCACAUCCCCAAACUUUAAGAAACGACAACUUUGGCCUUUUGCCAUACCACAGUUCGUAUGGUGUCGUCUCAACGGAUUUUGAUGGUUCCCUAUUUAAAGUGAAUCCAGCUGUUUCUAAUGCAUAACCCCAAAAUGAUAACGGCAAAUCGGUAAGAGACAUCAUAGAUCGCACCAUCUCUAAUAAAGUACGAUUACGACGUUCGGACACACCAUUACGCUGUGGUGUUCCAGGCGGUGUCAACUGUGAAACAAUUCCACAUUGUCUUAAGUGAGCACCAAACUCGAAACUCAGAUAUUCACCCCCACGAUCAGACCGUAGGAACUUGAUCUUCUUGUUACGAUGAUUUUCAACUUCACUCUGAAAUUGCUUGAACUUUUCAAAUGUUUCAGACUUGUGCUUCAUUAAGUAGACAUAACCAUAUCUACUCAAAUCGUCAGUGAAGGUGAGAAAAUAACGAUAUCCGUCGCGUGCCUCUACGCUCAUCGGACCGCACACAUCGGUAUGUAUGAUUUCCAACAAGUCACUUGCACGCUCCAUUGUUCCGGAGAACGGAGUUUUAGUCAUCUUGCCCAUGAGGCAUGGUUCGCACGUGUCAAGUGAAUCAAAGUCAAGUGACUCCAAAACUCCAUCAUCAUGGAGUUUCUUCAUGCGCUUUACACCAAUAUGACCUAAGCGGCAGUGCCACAAAAAUAUGGCGCUAUCAUUGUUAACUCUAACUCUUUUCGUCUCAAUGUUAUGUAUGUGUGUAUCACUAUCAAGAUUCAAUAUGAACAAACCUCUCACAUUGGGUGCAUGACCAUAAAAGAUGUUAGUCAUAGAAAUAGAACAACCAUUAUUCUCUGACUUGAAAGAGUAACCGUCUCGCAAUAAACAAGAUCCAGAUAUAAUGUUCAUGCUCAACGCAGGCACUAAAUAACAAUGAUUCAAGUUCAUAACUAAUCCUGAUGGUAACUGAAGUGAAACUGUGCCGACGGUGAUUGGAUCAACCUUGGAACCAUUUCCUACGCGCAUCGUCACUUCAUCUUUCGCCAGCCUUCGUCUAUUCCGCAGUUCCUGUUUCGAGUUGCAAAUAUGAGCAACAGAACCGGUAUCGAAUACCCAGGCACUACUACGAGAGCCGGUUAAGUACACAUCAAUAACAUGUAUAUCAAAUAUACCUGAUUUUUCUUUGGCCGCCUUCUUAUCUGCCAGAUACUUGGGGCAAUUGCGCUUCCAGUGACCCAUACCCUUGCAAUAGUAACACUUUGUUUCAGGCUUAGGUCCAGCUUUGGGUUUCUUCGUCAGAUUGGCAACAGGCUUGCCGCUCUUCUUUGAAUUACCCUUCUUGCCUUUGCCGUUUCUCUUGAAACUAGUGGUCUUAUUCACCAUCAACACUUGAUGCUCUUUACGGAGUUCAGACUCUGCGACUUUCAGCAUCGCAAACAACUCGCCGGGUGACUUGUUCAUCCCUUGCAUGUUGUAGUUCAACACAAAGCCUUUAUAGCUUGGCGGCAGUGAUUGAAGGAUUCUGUCAGUGAUAGCCUCUUGCGGGAGUUCAAUCCCCAGCUCAGCUAGACGGUUUGAGUACCCAGACAUUUUGAGCACAUGUUCACUGACAGACGAGUUCUCCUCCAUCUUGCAAGCAUAGAAUUUAUCGGAGGUCUCAUACCUCUCGAUCCGGGCAUUCUUCUGAAAGAUAAACUCCAACUCCUGGAACAUCUCAAAUGCUCCAUGAUGCUCAAAGCGACGUUGAAAUGCCAGUUCUAAGCCAUACAAGACUGCACACUGAACUACUGAGUAGUCCUUCUUACGUGUUAACCAAGCGUUCUUAACAUCCUGGUCAGCCGUAGCGGGUGGUUCAUCUCCUAGCGCAGCAUUAAGGACAUAAUCCUUCUUCCCAGCUUCUAAGAUUAGCUUAAGAUUACGAGCCCAGUCUACAAAGUUGCUUCCAUCAUCUUUCAACUUAGCUUUCUCUAGGAACGUAUUAAAAUUCAGGAUGACUGUCGCGUGAGCCAUGAUCUACAACACAAAUAUAUUCAAAGUGGACUUAGACUAUGUUCAAGAUAAUUAGAGUUUAACUUAAUCAAAUUACUCGCUAAACUCCCACUCAAAAAGUACAUCUCUCUAGUCAUUUGAGUGGUUCAUGAUCCACUUACACUAGCUCAAGUCCGAUCAUCACGUGAGUUGAGUAUAGUUUCAGUGGUAAGCAUCCCUAUGCUAAUCAUAUCAUCUAUAUGAUUCAUGAUCGACCUUUCGGUCUCAUGUGUUCCGAGGCCAUGUCUGCACAUGCUAGGCUCGUCAAGCUUAACCUGAGUGUUCCGCGUGUGCAACUGUUUUGCACCCGUUGUAUGUGAACGUUGAGUCUAUCACACCCGAUCAUCACGUGGUGUCUUGAAACGACGAACUGUAGCAACGGUGCACAGUCGGGGAGAACACAAUUUCGUCUUGAAAUUUUAGUGAGAGAUCACCUUAUAAUGCUACCAUCAUUCUAAGCAAAAUAAGGUGCAUAAAAGGAUUAACAUCACAUGCAAUUCAUAAGUGACAUGAUAUGGCCAACAUCACGUGCUCCUUGAUCUCCAUCACGAAAGCACCGGCACGAUCUUCGUGUCACCGGCGCCACACCAUGAUCUCCAUCAACGUGUCGCCGUCGGGGUUGUCGUGCUACUCAUGCUAUUACUACUAAAGCUACAUCCUAGCAAAAUAGUAAACGCAUCUGCAAGCACAAACGUUAGUUUAAAGACAACCCUAUGGCUCCUGCCAGUUGCUAUACCAUCGACGUGCAAGUCGAUAUUAUCUAUUACAACAUGAUCAUCUCAUACAUCCAAUAUAUCACAUCACAUCGUUGGCCAUAUCACAUCACAAGCAUACCCUGCAAAAACAAGUUAGACGUCCUCUAAUUUUGUUGUUGCAUGUUUUACGUGGUGACCAUGGGUAUCUAGUAGGAUCGCAUCUUACUUACGCAAACACCACAACGGAGAUAUAUGAAUUGCUAUUUAACCUUAUACAAGGACCUCCUCGGUCAAAUCCGAUUCAACUAAAGUUGGAGAAAGUGACACUUGCCAGUCAUCUUUGAGCAACGGGUUACUCGUAGCGACGAAUACAGUCUCUCGUAAGCUUACGAGUAAUGUCGGUCCAAGCCGCUUCAAUCCAACAAUACUGCGGAAUCAAGAAAAGACUAAGGAGGGCAGCAAACCGCACAUCACCGCCCAAAAAAACUUUUGUGUUCUACUCGAGAAGACAUCUACGCAUGAACCUAGCUCAUGAUGCCACUGUUGGGGAACGUCGCAUGGGAAACAAAAAAUUUCCUACGCGCACGUAAACCUAUCAUGGUGAUGUCCAUCUACGAGAGGGGAUAUUCGAUCUACGUACCCUUGUAGAUCGCACAGUAGAAGCGUUAGUGAACACGGUUGAUGUAGUGGAACGUCCUCACGUCCCUCGAUCCACCCCGCGAACCGUCCCGCGAUCAGUCCCACGAUCUAGUGCCGAACGGACGACACCUCCGUGUUCAGCACACGUACAACUCGACAAUGAUCUCGGCCUUCUUGAUCCAGCAAGAGAGACGGGGAGGUAGAUGAGUUCUCCGGCAGCAUGACGGCGCUCCGGAGGUUGGUGGUGAUCUAAUCACAGCAGGGCUUCGCCUGAGCUCCGCAGAAACUCGAUCUGGAGGUAAAACCGUGGAGAUAUGUGGUCGGGCUGCCGUGGCAAAGUCGUCUCAAAUCAGCCCUAAAACCUCCGUAUAUAUAGGGGGAAGAGGGGGAGCUUUGCCUUGGGGUCCAAGGACCCUCAAGGGGUUCGGCCGAGCCAAGGGGGGGAGUCCCCCCCUUCCAAACCGAAUCCAACUAGGUUUGGAAGGAGGAGUCCUUCCCCUUUUUCCCACCUCCUCUUUUUUUUCUCUUUGAUUUUCUUAUUAUGGCGCAUAGGGCCUUCUUGGGCUGUCCCACCAGCCCACUAAGGGCUGGUGCGCCACCCCAAGGCCUAUGGGCUUCCCCGGGGUGGGUUGCCCCACCCCCCCGGUGAACACCCGGAACCCAUUUGUCAUUCCCGGUACAUUCCCGGUAACUNCCCCCCCGGUGAACACCCGGAACCCAUUUGUCAUUCCCGGUACAUUCCCGGUAACUCCGAAAACCUUCCGGUAAUCAAAUGAGGUCAUCCUAUAUAUCAAUCUUCGUUUCCGGACCAUUCCGGAAACCCUCGUGACGUCCGUGAUCUCAUCCGGGACUCCGAACAACAUUUGGUAACCAACCAUAUAACUCAAAUACGCAUAAAACAACGUCGAACCUUAAGUGUGGAGACCCUGCGGGUUCGAGAACUAUGUAGACAUGACCCGAGUGACUCCUCGGUCAAUAUCCAAUAACGGGACCUGGAUGUCCAUAUUGGAUCCCACAUAUUCUACGAAGAUCUUAUCGUUUGAACCUCAGUGCCAANNNNNNNNNNNNNNNNNNNNNNNNNNNNNNNNNNNNNNNNNNNNNNNNNNNNNNNNNNNNNNNNNNNNNNNNNNNNNNNNNNNNNNNNNNNNNNNNNNNNGCCCCGACCGACGCCGACGGGUCGACGGAGCGGCCCGGUGGCCUCCCGGCGUCGCAUGCUGCUGCUGGUACUGGUAACGGAUGAACGGAGGAGGAGAAGGACGAAAGCGCCGACCCAACAACCCGCUUUGACCGUCAGCAGCGUUCGUUCGCCUCUCUAGAAGAAAAGCAGCUCAAUUAAUCUAGAGAGAGAGAGGAGGUUAGAGAGAGGGGAAGAUAAGAGAGAGAGAGAGAGAUAGAGAGGGAUGUGAGAGGGGGACGGGACGGGACGGGCGCAAGUGGGCGGGGAUCCACUUGUGAUGAGCGAGCGGGCGCUCACGUUAUCCUGGUGGUGUCAGUUUUUGUAAUGCCACUUGCGCCGCCCACUUGCAUCCGCAUCCGCCCAGCGAGAGAGAGAGAGAGAAGACAAGACCGGACGAGAGGGACUGGAGAGUAAAAUAUGGAAAGAGUCGGGCAGGCGGAAAAGCGCAAGUUGCCCGUCACGCUCGCUCCUCCUCAACGUACUACCAGCAGUACAACUCACGCCCCUGCAACCGCAACCGCAAUGCAAGUGGCCGCGCCGUCCCCCACGCAAACGUCUCUCCUACUGCUCGCAUUCGAUUCGUGGAUUCAGAGGCGUAGCAAGAAGAUCGUGACGGUUCUGUUGUGAUCAACAUCUUUCGAAUUUGACGAAAUGCCAUGAGCAAAAUGCUGACGAGAACACAAUGGAAGGAGAAACUGAAAGAAUAUAUACAGGGAUGUUGAUGAGAGUCCUGCAUCGGCCCAAGCUAUUUUUUACUCCUCCAAUUCCUUUCAAUCUUAUCUUAACUCUUACUACUAGUACCAAGAACAAACAAAGGGGAACCAACCCAAGACUACCAGACUAGAGCUAGGAGCGCCUCGCGAUAAGGAGAAACAGCGAGGGGCCGGGCGAGAAACCGCGCCGACCGAACCGACCCCUCGCCUUCACGCCAGAAGGAAAGCAAGAAGAAGAAGAGAAAAAUAAUCCAUCGCCUCCACCACCACGGAUUUGAUUAAUGAUCGGAAUCGGAGCGCGGUUUUACCGAAACGCCCCUGCGGGCCGAGAG